Molecule: long non-coding RNA, 50315 nt
Filed under: Triticum aestivum (bread wheat)
Lineage: Eukaryota; Viridiplantae; Streptophyta; Magnoliopsida; Poales; Poaceae
Description: long non-coding RNA (TAES_LNC001104)
Source: RNAcentral
CGACAACGACGACAACGACGACAACAACAACAACAACAACAACAACAACAACAACAACAACAACAACAACAACAACAACAACAACAACAACAACAACAACAACAACAACAACAACAACAACAACAACAACAACAACAACAACAACAACAACAACAACAACAACAACAACAACAACAACAACAACAACAACAACAACAACAACAACAACAACGACAACAACAACUACAACAACAACAAUCCACCGCCACCACCCCUAGUCGACAACUUGGCCCGCUUUCUAAGGUUGAAUCCGCCAGUGUUCUCUAGUAGCACCGAGCCGAUUGUUGCUGAUGACUGGCUCCGCAAGAUUGGAAGGGAGCUGACCACCACAGGUUGCACAGAUGCUAAGAAGGUGCGCUUUGCCGCACAUCAACUGGACGGACCCGCAGCCUCAUGGUGGGAGAACUACACUGCCACUUUCCCCGUGGCCAAUGUCACUUGGGAUUAGUUUCAACAAGCAUUCCGCACUCACAUGUCUCAGCUAGAGCUAUGAGUAUGAAGAAGCGUGAGUUCCGCAACUUACGUCAGGGAAAUCAUACUGUGGCGCAGUACGUGCAUGAGUUCGGCAAGUUAGCUCGCUACGCCCCAGAUGAUGUGGCCACAGAUGCUGCGAAGCAGGAGAAGUUUAUGGAGGGGCUGAAGGAUGAGUUGAGUAUGUAGUUGAUGGUGGCAACAUUCACCAACUAUCAGGAGCUGGUAGACAGGGCUCUCAAGAUCGAAGGCAAGCAGCAGCAGAUAGAGAGCCGUAAACGGAAGUAUGGACAGGGGAAGUACAACUCUGGAGCUCAGCAAAAGCACCAUUUUACCCCGAAGUCGGGAGGACAUACCCAUAAUAACCAUGGAGGCCAUUCUCACAAUGGAGGAAGUUCACAUAACCACAGUGGCCCUAAGAAUGGAAAUGGGAAUGGAGGAAACAACAAUCAGAGCCAUUCCAACCCAGCAACCCCCGCCAAGAAGGAUCUGAGUCACGUUACCUGUUUCAAGUGCAGGAAGAUGGGACACUACGCAAAUGAUUGUCUUGAGAUAAAGUUACCCAAUGUAGUUAUUGGUAAGUUUUUUAUUAAGUUAUUUACAGUUGUCGUCCUUUUUGACACUGGUGCAUCAUAUUCAUACAUAUCAAGGGGAUUUGUGGAUAAGUUUAAGUUGCCCACCAUAGCCCUUAAGACACCUAUGUUAGUAAGCUCACCUGGAGCGGAGUAUAUGGCUAGCAGAGGAUGUUUUCAGUUGCCAUUGACCAUAGGUAGGCAUGUUUUCCCCUCAGACCUAGUUAUUUUGGAGUCACAAGGAUUGGAUGUGAUACUAGGCAUGGACUGGCUAUCGAUGUACGGAGGAAAUAUCGAUUGUGCUAGUAAGUCAAUUCUCCUCACCACCCCAAAAGGUAAACGGAUCAAGUAUGUGUCUAGGCAUGCGCCAAGGAGGACUCAAGUAAAUUCACUUUCGGGAGUUGUUCAGGAUGAAGUGCCAGUUGUGAAGGAUUAUCCCGACGUAUUCCCGGAGGAACUACCAGGCAUGCCACCAGAUCGAGAUAUAGAAUCUUUGAUAGAGCUGUUACAAGGCACCGGGCCAAUAUCGAAGAGACCAUAUCGGAUGCCUGCAAAUGAUCUGGAGGAAAUUAAGAAACAGGUUAAGAAGUUAUUGGAGAAAGGUUAUAUUCGACCAAGUUCAUCACCGUGGGGAGCCCAAGUACUUUUAGUUGAGAAGAAGGAUGGAUCUUUGAGAAUGGUUGUGGAUUGUCGUGCACUGAAUGAGGUGAUGAUCAAGAACAAAUACCCACAACCGAUGAUCAAUGAUUUGUUUGACCAAUUGCAGGGAGCUAAAGUAUUCUCCAAGAUCAAUCUUCGAUCAGGAUACCACCAGCUGAAGAUCCAAGAACAUGAUAUACCUAAGACAGCUUUUACCACAAGGUACGGGCUAUAUGAGUACACUGUCAUGUCUUUUGGUUUGACUAAUGCCCCUGCCUACUUUAUGAGUAUGAUGAAUAAGGUGUUCAUGGAGUUCUUGCAUAAGUUUGUUGUGGUGUUCAUUGAUGAUAUAUUGGUAUACUCAAAGAAUGAAGAAGAACACAAAGAACAUUUGCGCUUAGUUCUCGAGAAGCUCAGGGAACAUCAAUUGUAUGCCAAGUUCAGCAAAUGUGAGUUUUGGUUGAAGGAAGUUGGAUUUCUCGGACAUGUUAUAUCAGGAGAAGGUAUAGCAGUAGACCCUUCCAAGGUUCAGUCUGUCACUGAGUGGCUGGCACCCACCUCAGUUGGAGAGAUACACAGUUUUCUUGGACUCGCAAGAUAUUACCGAAGAUUCAUUGAGAAUUUUUCCAAGAUCGCGAAGCCCCUGAUGGAGUUAUUGAAGAAGGACACCAAGUUUAAAUGGACCAAGGAAUGUGAGGCCAGUUUUUAGGAGUUGAAGAAACGUUUAGUUACAACCCCCGUGCUAAUUCUUCUGGAUAUAUGCAAGGAUUUCCAAGUAUAUUGCGAUGCUUCUCGCCAGGGACUUGGAGGUGUACUUAUGCAAGACGGAAUAGUUGUUUCAUAUGCCUCACGUCAGCUUCUACCUCAUGAGUUGAAUUAUGCCACGCACGAUUUGGAGUUAGCAGCCGUAGUGCAUGCGCUCAAGACCUGGAGACAUUUUCUUAUUGGAAACCGUUGUGAUGUAUACACGGAUCAUAAGAGUUUGAAGUACAUCUUCACAUAGAAGGAUUUGAACCUCAGGCAGAGGAGAUGGUUGGAGCUUAUAAAGGAUUAUGAUAUGAAGCUGCAUUAUCAUCCAGGAAAGGCCAAUGUUGUAGUAGACACUUUGAGCCACAAGAGUUAUGUUAAUACUCUGUAACCGGAGGAUUGCCGCAAGAGUAAUUCGAUGAUCUCAGAGAACUUCAAAUGAAGAUAGUUCCGAGAGAUUUUGUUGCAUCGUUAGAAGUUUAGUCCACAUUGUUUGGAAAGAUACGAGAAGCCCAGAAAACUGAUAAGGACAUUGCGGAGAUAAAGGAAAAGAUGAGUAUAGGAAAGGCCAAAGGCUUUCGUGAGGAUGAACACGAAACUUUAUGGUUUGAGGAUCGUAUUUAUGUGCCCAAUGAUUUAGAGAUCAGGAAGUUAAUACUUCAGGAAGCUCAUGACUCGCCAUACUCGAUUCACCCAUGAAACACCAAGAUGUAUUUGGAUUUGAAGGAGCGUUUCUGGUGGACAAGAAUGAAGAAGGAUAUUGCCGAGUAUGUAGCCGUAUGUGACGUAUGUCAGAGAGUUAAGGCAGAGGAUCAGAAGCCAGCAGGACUGCUUCAGCCUUUGUCGAUAUCCGAAUGGAAGUGGGAUAAGCUUGGCAUGGAUUUCAUCACCAGAUUACCCAAGACACGAUCAGGCUAUGACUCUAUUUGGGUAGUAGUUGAUCGCUUGACCAAAGUGGCUCACUUUAUCCCCAUGAAAACCACUUAUACGAGCGAGAAGUUGGCCAAGAUAUAUAUGACCAGGAUUGUAUGUUUGCAUGGAGUUUCGAGGACCAUCGUAUCAGAUAAAGGAACACAGUUUACCUCAAAGUUUUGGAAUCAAUUACACCAGACUUUGGGUACUAGGCUAGAGUUCAGUACACCCUUUCAUCCGUAGAUAAAUGGGCAGACCGAGAGAGUGAAUCAGAUUCUGGAGGACAUGUUGAGAGCUUGUGCUCUAGAUUAUGGAUCUAGUUGGGAUGAUAAUUUGCCCUACGUAGAGUUCUCAUAUAACAAGAGCUACCAAGCCAGUUUGAAGAUGGCCCCUUUCGAAGCUUUUUAUGGAAGGAGGUGCAGGACACCAUUGAUGUGGGAUGAAGUUGGACACCGACAAUUGUUCGGAGAAGAUUUAAUCAAAGAGUCUGAAGAGAAGGUUAAGUUGAUUUGUGAUAGACUGAAGGUAGCUCAGUCUAGGCAGAAGAGUUAUGCUAACACUAAACGCAAGGAGGUAGCCUAUGAAGUCGGAGACAGAGCAUAUCUCCGUGUGUCACCACUUCGAGGAGUUAAACGAUUUGGAGUCAAAGGAAAGUUAGCACCGCGAUUUGUAGGACCAUACCGAGUUGUGGAACAUAUGGCUGAAGUAGCCUACAAGUUGGAGUUACCUGAAAGUUUGUCAAGAGUUCAUGAUGUGUUUAACGUUUCCCAGUUGAAGAAGUGCCAUGCACAGAUGGCCGAUAUCCCUCUGAGAGAUACAGUGCCCCUGGAAGCAAUUCAGUUGGAGAUUGACCUAACCUAUGAGGAGAAACCUGUCAAGAUUCUCGAGUUCGGCAACUGAGUUACACGCAGUAAGGUCAUCAAGUUUUGCACACUUCAUUGGAGCCACCAUACCGAGGAAGAAGCCAUCUGGGAGAGAGAAGAAGACAUAUGGAAAGACCACCCACACCUAUUUGCUAGCCAACCCAAAUCUUGAGGGCGAGAUUCAUCUUAAGGGGGGUAGGUUUGUAACAUCCCAAUUUUCAAUUUGGAUGUUAAUCAUUAGGUCAUCAUAUGCAUUCAGGAUUUUUGCAUUUUGAAUUUGGUUUAUUUGGACAUUUUGAUCCUAGAGACCUUAAGCAACUCAAGGACCAUUUGAGAGAGUUGGAGGUUUUCAUAAAAUUCCAUUUUUAAAAUUUUCAAAGUUGGUAAUUUGGAUCAAAGUGAUUUUAUUUGAAAUUAUUUCUCCAAUUAUUUCAAAAUAAAUAAAAUAAUGAGAGAAGAUAAUACAACUUCUUCAAAACAACCAGGAAAUAAUGGAAAUUUAAUUUUGAAUAAAAAUGUAUUUUAUUUGAAAUUUUAUUCGGUUAAAUUAGGGAAAAAUAUGCAUUUUAAAAAAAUUGCAUUUAGCCCAGAAAAAUGUUCACUUUGUCCUAAAUAUUAGGAGAGGACCGUGAAAAUUAUUUUUGGAAUUUUUGGAUUUUUAUUUUAUUUUAUUUUUGAUUUUUCACAGCGGCGAGAUUAUUUUUUAAAAAAAUUCGGACCGACUGGGCCGAAGCCCAGCCGGCCUAGCGCGCCACCGCCUUCCCCGCUGUCCUGGAUCCGGACUCCGCCGGAGUCCGACGCCGCCACGCCACCGCAGCCGCCCCCUCCUCCAAGCCGCGCCUCCCCGGGCCCCUUUAAAGGCCGAGGCCACCCCCCCUCUCCCCUCAAGCUACGCCACCACAUCCCGCCGCACUACCGCGACGCCGCUGUCCGAGCCACCUCGCCUCGCUGUCGCCUCCUGCGCUGCCCGCAUCGCCGCCCCGCGCCGCUAGCCGCAGACUCGCCGUCGCCCCGCACCACCUUGCCACUACCGAACCGCCCCGCCCUCGCCGGAGUUGCCGCCGUCGCCGGUCCUUUUCCCCUGAACCGGUAUAAACCACUAAAACCGGCCCGCCUUUUUUAGUUCAUUUUAUUUUUUUAGAUCGGUUUAUUUAUUAAAUUAAGUUAAUUAGUGAACGUUCACCCGAUUAGUUUUGUUAACGAACAAAAUUGUUCAUUAGUUUCUGUUAGCGAAUGUUCAUCCGGUAGAUUUUUCUUUUUAGUCUAAUUUUCAGCCAGGGACCUAUCCGUAAUUAUUUCCAUCAUAGAUUAGUCCCUGAUCUUUAAACCCUCACUAUUUUUUGCUCAUUUGUCCAAAUCUAGUGGAACCAACGCCAAAAUCUUCGUCUUGUUCCCCUCUAUCGAGAUAACAUGUUUUUGGAAAUUUAAAAUUUGGUUUCAAGAAGAUUUGAAUUUGAACUUCUUUUGACCAUAGUUUCUGUUUCGUAACUCUGAUUUGAUUGAUUCUUUUUGUAAAUCGAAUCUCUCCACUUGAACUUUCUGUUUAGAUCUUUUCUUUUGGUUUUACCUUCCCAUCUUAUGCUUGAGUGCUUAUGUAUGUUAUUGUUUGUUCACAUAUAGUUUCCGGAGUGCGAGGCUUGCUACUACGAAUCGCUAGGGUUUUCCGAUCGUCAGGAAGGCAAGUAACACUUUGAUCAUAUCCCUUUAUUACACAAUUUUUAUGCAUUAGUUUCAACCCUCAAACAUUGCAUGAGUAGGAUUUUAAUAACAUGUGGGUAUGGGAAGUAGUUGAUGAGGUAGGAACUUAUUGUCUUUUAUCAAACCCCGGGUAUUGUACAUUAUGCUUAUACUACUUUGCUAUGCUCGUAGACGUGGGUUGGUAUGUGAGAUUCGUGAAAGAUGUGAGAGUUAUAUAUAACUAAGGGAAACUUAAGGUGGGUACUUUAAUACACAUCUGGGUGGAUUGGUUGUGGGCACCUGGGGAUAUACCAUUGUUGUCCUAGGAGAUCCCGGGGUACCCGUGUGAUCCUCCUAUGGAAUGCCACCCAUGCUCAAAGGGAUCAUAAGAUUAUUCAUGCUAGAAACUUCCGUCUGCAGCCACAAGCCGUUAUGGGCUCUGGCAUAGUUGAGUAAGUUGUGGGAAUCGUUUCCAUGAUGGUCUAGCAGAUGUAGGGGAUUGUAGGUGUACCGGCCUAUCUAUCGGUUAAGGGGACCUCUUCGAAAAGACUGUGUCUCGAUCAUCUGUUUCUCAAACAUCAUGUAGUGCAAGAAAUACAAUGGAGGAGAUCGAGUCUUGUGCGGAAAAGUGCGAAAACCUCUGCAGAAUGUAUAAACUAAUCAUGGUUAGCUGUGUCCCCGGUUAUGGACAUCUUGAAUAUCCGGUACUUGAAUUAUUGUUUUGAUCUCAUCACUUUACUUAACUAAUUUAUUGGGUUGUUAAUAUUAUUUUGGGAAUUGAGUUGGGGGUACCUUCUCAAUAAUGUCAUAAAACUUUGUAGCUAAAUAAAAUCUAUUCCUUUAUUGUAGGGAAAAAUUAGCUUUAUGCAAAUGAUAACCAUAGAGCCUCCACCAGCCAAAUAUGCAUGUAGUGAUAGUUGUUAUUUGUUCACUGCUCUAUAGUGUUAUUUUGCCAGCAUAUUCCAUGUGCUGACCUACACGGCUGCAACGUAUCAUGUUGCAGAGUUUUCAGACGAAGAGUAAGGUGCGAUAGGUCGUUGUCAUGCACUUGGUUUUGCCGUGGAGUUCGAUGGACUCAUUUAUAUUCGAAGCUUCCGCAGUUAUCUUAAUUAGAUGGCCUUCAGCCAUAUUAUUGUAAUAAGUACUCUAUUUGAGACACUCGUUGUAAUCAGUGUGUGAUUGAACUCUGCAAUAAAUCCUCGAGUACUAUGUGUGUCGGCAAUACCGAUCCAGGGAUGACACUUAAGCACGGAGACUACGGUCCAUUGGGAUCGGGUCGCUACAUUUUUCUUGAAAGUAGUGGUCUUGUUAACCAUCAACACUUGAUGCUCUUUCUUGAUUUCUACCUUCGCCGAUUUCAGCAUUUCGAAGAGCUCUGGAAUUGUCUUAUCCAUCCCUUGCGUAUUAUAGUUCAUCAUGAAGCCUUUGUAGCUUGGUGGCAGUGAUUGGAGAACUCUGUCAAUCACUAUCUUAUAUGGAAGAUUAAUUCCCACUUGAUUCAAGUGAUUGUAGUACCCAGACAUUCUGAGCACAUGCUCACUAGUUGAACUAUUCUCCUCCAUCUUGUAGGCAAAGUACUUGUCAGAGGUCUCAUACCUCUCGACAUGGGCAUGAGUCUGAAAUACCAAUUUCAGCUCUUGGAACAUCUCAUAUGCUCUGUGGCAUUCAAAACAUUUUUUAAGUCCCAGUUCUAAGCCGCAAAGCAUGUCACACUAAACUAUCAAGUAGCCAUCAUACCGAGCUUGUCAAACAUUCAUAACGUCUGCAUCAGCUCCAGCAACAUGUCUGUCACCUAGCAGUGCAUCAAGGACAUAAUUCUUCUAUGCAGCAAUGAGGAUAAUCCUCAGACCACUGAUCCAAUCUGCAUCAUUGCUACUAUCAUCUGUCAACUUAGUUUUAUCUAGGAACAUAUCAAAAACAUAGGGGAGCUAUAAUGCGAGCCAUUGAUCUACAACAUAAUUUGCAAAUACUAUCAGGACUAAGUUCAUGAUAAAUUAAAGUUCAAUUAAUCAAAUUACUUAAGAACUCCCACUUAGAUAGACAUCCCUCGAGUCAUCUAAAUGAUUACGUGAUCCAAAUCAACUAAACCAUGUCCGAUCAUCCCAUGAGAUGGAGUAGUUUUCAAUGGUGAACAUCUCUAUGUUGAUCAUAUCUACUAUAUGAUUCACGUUUGACCUUUCGGUCUCCGAUGUUCUGAGGCCAUGUCUCUACAUGCUAGGCUCGUCAAGUUUAACCCGAGUAUUCCACAUAUGCAAAAUUGUAUUGCACCCGUUGUAUGUGAACGUAGAGCUUAUCACACCCGAUCAUCACAUGGUGUCUCAGCACGACGAACUAUCACAACGGUGCAUACUCAGGGAGAAGACUUAUACCUAUAAAUUAUAGUAAGGGAUCAUCUUAUAAUGCUACCGUCGUACUACACAAAAUAAGAUGCAUAAUAGAUAAACAUCACAUGCAAUCAAAAUAUGUGACAUGAUAUGGCCAUCAUCAUCUUGUGCCAUUGAUCUCCACCUCCAAAGCACCGUCAUGACCUCCAUCGUCACCGGCUUGACACCUUGAUCUCCAUUGUAGUGUCGUGGUCGUCUCUCUAACUAUUGCUUCUACAACUAUCGCUAACGCAUAGUGAUAAAGUAAAGCAAUUAUUGUUGGGGAAUGUAGUAAUUUCAAAAUUUUCCUACGCACACGCAAGAUCAUGGUGAUGCAUAGCAACGAGAGCGGAGAGUAUUGUCCACGUACCCUCGUAGACCGUUAAGCAGAAGCGUUAUGACAACGCGGUUGAUGUAGUCGUAUGUCUUCACGAUCGACUGAUCCUUAGUACCGAACGUACGACACCUCCGCGUUCAGCACACGUUUAGCUCAGUGACGUCCUGCGAACUCACGAUCUAGUACAGCUCGAGGGAGAGUUUCAUCAGCAUGACGGCGUGGUGACGAUGUUGAUGAAGCUACUGACGCAGGGCUUCGCCUAAGCACCGCUACGAUAUGAUCGAGGUGGAUUAUGGUGGAGGGGGGCACCGCACACGGCUGGGAGAGAUCAAUGAUCAACUUGUGUGUCCUAGGGUGCCCCCUGCCCCCGUAUAUAAAGGAGAAAGGGGGAGGCCGGCCGGCCCUGUAGGGCACGCCAGGAGGAGGAGUCCUCCUCCUAGUAGGAGUAGGACUCCCCUCUUUCCUACUCCUACUAGGAGGGGGAAAGGAAGGGGGAGAAGGAGAAGGAAAGGGGGGUGCCGCCCCCCUUCCAAGUCCAAUUCGGACCAAACGGGGAGGGGGCGCGCGGCCUGCCCUGGCCGGCCCCUCUCUCUCUCCAGUAGGGCCCAACAAGGCCCAUUAAUCCCUGGGGGUUCCAUUAACCCCUCCGGCACUCCGGUAAAAUCCCGAUUUCACCCGGAACUCUUCUGAUGUCCAAAUGUAGGCUUCCAAUAUAUCAAUAUUUAUGUCUCGACCAUUUAGAGACUCCUCGUCAUGUCCGUGGUUAUAUCUGAGACUCUGAACUAACCUUGGUACAUCAAAACAUAUAAACUCAUAAUACCGAUCGUCAUAGAACUUUAAGCAUGCGGACCCUACGGGUUCGAGAACUAUGUAGACAUGAGCGAGACACGUCUCCGGUUAAAAACCAAUAGCGGAACCUGGAUGAUCAUAUUGGUUCCUACAUAUUCUACGAAGAUCUUUAUCGGUCAAACCACAUAACAAUAUACGUUGUUCCCUUUGUCUUCGGUAUGUUACUUGCCCGAGAAUCGAUCGUAUGUAUCUCAAUAUCCAGUUCAAUCUCAUUACCGGCGAGUCUCUUUACUCGUUUCGUAAUGCAUCAUGCUGCAACUAACUCAUUGGAAACAUUGCUUGCAAGGCUUAUAGUGAUGUGCAUUACCAAGAGGGCCCAGAGAUACCUCUCCGACAAUCGGAGUGCCAAAUCCUAUUCUUGAUCUAUGCCAACUCCACGAACACCAUCGGAGACACCUGUAGAGCAACUUUAUAAUCACCCAGUUAUGUUGUGACGUUUGGUAUCACACAAAGUGUUCCUCCGGUAUUCGGGAGUUGCAUAAUCUCAUAGUCAUAGGAACAUGUAUAUGUCAUGAAGAAAGAAAUAGCAGUAAACUAAACGAUCAAGUGCUAAGCUAACGGAAUGGGUCAAGUCAAUCACAUCAUUCUCCUAAUGAUGUGAUCCCAUUGAUCAAAUGACAACUCAUGUCUAUGGCUAGGAAACUCAACCAUCUUUGAUCAAUGAGCUAGUCAAGUAGAGGCAUACUAGUGACACUAUGUUUGUCUAUGUAUUCACACAUAUAUUAUGUUUCCGGUUAAUACAAUUCUAGCAUGAAUAAUAAACAUUUAUCAUGAUAUGAGGAAAUAAAUAAUAACUUUAUUAUUGCCUCUAGGGCAUAUUUCCUUCAGUUUCCCACUUGCACUAGAUUCAAUAAUCUAGAUUACACAGUAAUGAUUCUAACACCCAUGGAGUCUUGGUACUGAUCAUGUUUUGCUCGUGGAAGAGGCUUAGUCAAUGGGUCUGCAACAUUCAAAUCUAUAUGUAUCUUGCAAAUAUCUAUGUCUCCCACUUGGACUUGAUCCUGGAUGGAAUUGAAGCAUCUCUUGAUGUGCUUGGUUCUUUUGUGUAAUCUGGAUUCCUUUACCAAGGCAAUUGCACCAGUAAUGUCAUAAAAGAUUUUCAUUGGACCCGAUGCACUAGGUAUGACACCUAGAUCGGAUAUGAACUCCUUCAUCCAGACUCCUUCAUUUGCUGCUUCUGAAGCAGCUAUGUACUCCACUUCACACGUAGAUCCCGCCACGAUGCUUUGUUUAGAACUGCUCCAACUAACAGCUCCAUCGUUUAAUAUAAGCACGUAUCCGGUUUGCGAUUUAGAAUCGUCCGGAUCAGUGUUAAAGCUUGCAUCGACGUAACCAUUUACAACGAGCUCUUUGUCACCUCCAUAAAUGAGAACCAUAUCCUUAGUCUUUUUCAGGUAUUUCAGGAUGUUCUUGACUGUCGUCCAGUUAUCCACUCCUGGAUUACUUUGGUACCUCCCUGCUAAACUAAUAGCAAGGCACACACCAGGUAUGGUACACAGCAUUGCAUACAUGAUAGAGCCUAUGGCUGAAGCAUAGGGAACACUUUUCAUUUUCUCUCUAUCUUCUGCAAUGGUCGGGCAUUGAGUCUUACUCAACUUCACACCUUGUAACACAGGCAAGAACCCUUUCUUUGCUUGAUCCAUUUUGAACUUCUUCAAAACUUUAUCAAGGUAUGUGCUUUGUGAAAGUCCAAUUAAGCGUCUUGAUCUAUCUCUAUAGAUCUUGAUGCCUAAUAUAUAAGCAGCUUCUUUGAGGUCUUUCAUUGAAAAACUUUUAUUCAAGUAUCCUUUUAUGCUAUCCAGAAAUUCUAUAUCAUUUCCAAUCAACAAUAUGCCAUCCAUAUAUAAUAUUAGAAAUGCUACAGAGCUCCCACUCACUUUCUUGUAAAUACAGGCUUCUCCAAAAGUCUGUAUAAAACCAUAUGUUUUGAUCACACUAUGAAAACAUUUAUUCCAACUCCGAGAGGCUUGCACCAGUCCAUAAAUGGAUAGCUGGAGCUUGCACAUUUGUUAGCACCCUUCGGAUUGACAAAACCUUCUGGUUGUGUCAUAUAGAACUCUUCUUCCAGAAAUCCAUUCAGGAAUGCAGUUUUGACAUCCAUUUGCCAAAUUUCAUAAUCAUAAAAUGCGGCAAUUGCUAACAUGAUUCGGACAGACUUAAGCAUCGCUACGGGUGACAAAGUCUCAUCGUAGUCAUGUUGGGGAACGUAGCAGAAAUUCAAAAUUUUCCUACGUGUCACCAAGAUCUAUCUAUGGAGAGACCAGCAACGAGGGGAAGGAGAGUGCAUCUACAUACCCUUGUAGAUCGCUAAGCGGAAGCGUUCUGGAGAACGGGGUUGAAGGAGUCGUACUCAUCGUGAUCCAAAUCACCGGAGAUCCUAGUGCCGAACGGACGGCACCUCCGUGUUCAACACACGUACAACCCGGUGACGUCUCCCAUGCCUUGAUCCAGCAAGGAGAGAGGGAGAGGUUGAGGAAGACUCCAUCCAGCAGCAGCACAACGGUGUGGUGGUGGUGGAGGAGCAUGGUGAUCCAGCAGGGCUUCGCCAAGCACCGCGAGAUAUGAGGAGAAAGAGAGGUAGGGCUGCGCCAACAAGAGAAGAAACUUCGUCUAUGGGCUGCUCCUUUGCCUCCACUAUAUAUAGUGGGAGAGGGGGGGCUGCGCCCCCACCUAGGGUUCCACCCUAGGGGCGGCGGCCAGCCCAGAUCCCAUCUAGUGGGGCGGCCAAGGGGAGGGGGAGAGGGAGGCGCACCAGGCAUGGGCCCUAAGGCCCAUCUGCCCUUAGGGUUUGCCCCCUCCUCCCCUUAGGCGCCUUGGGCCCUUGUGGGGGGGCGCACCAGCCCAACUGGGGCUGGUCCACUCCCACACUUGGCCCAUGAAGCCCUUCGGGGCCGGUGGCCCCACUUGGUGGACCACCGGGACCCUCCUGGUGGUCCCGGUACGUUACCGAUAAAACCCGAAACUUUUCUGGUGACCAAAAUAGGACUUCCCAUAUAUAAAUCUUUACCUCGGGACCAUUCCGGAACUCCUCGUGACAUCUGGGAUCUCAUCCGAGCCUCCGAACAACAUUCAGUAACCACAUACAAACUUCCUUUAUAACCCUAGCGUCAUCGAACCUUAAGUGUGUAGACCCUACGGGUUCGGGAACCUUGCAGACAUGACCGAGACGUCCUCCGGUCAAUAACCAAUAGCGGGAGCUGGAUACCCAUGUUGGUUCCCACAUGUUCCAUGAUGAUCUCAUCGGAUGAACCACGACGUCGAGGAUUCGAUCAAUCCCGUAUACAAUUCCCUUUGUCUAGCGGUACGAUACUUGCCCGAGAUUCGAUUGUCGGUAUCCCGAUACCUUGUUCAAUCUCAUUACCGGCAAGUCUCUUUACUCGUUCCGUAACACAUCAUCCCAUGAUCAACUCCUUGAUCACAUUGUGCACAUUAUGAUGAUGUCCUAUCGAGUGGGCCCAGAGAUACCUCUCCGUUUACACGGAGUGACAAAUCCCAGUCUCAAUUCGUGCCAACCCAACAGACACUUUCAGAGAUACCUGUAGUGUACCUUUAUAGCCACCCAAUUACGUUGUGACAUUUGGCACACCCAAAGCACUCCUACGGUAUCUAGGAGUUGCAUAAUCUCAUGGUCUAAGGAAAGGAUACUUGACAUUAGAAAAGCUUUAGCAUACGAACUACAUGAUCUUGUGCUAGGCUUAGGAUUGGGUCUUGUCCAUCACAUCAUUCUCCUAAUGAUGUGAUCCCAUUAUCAACGACAUCCAAUGUCCAUGGUCAGGAAACCGUAACCAUCUAUUGAUCAACGAGCUAGUCAACUAGAGGCUUACUAGGGACAUGGUGUUGUCUAUGUAUCCACACAUGUAUCUGAGUUUCCUAUCAAUACAAUUCUAGCAUGGAUAAUAAACGAUUAUCAUGAACAAGGAAAUAUAAUAAUAACUAAUUUAUUAUUGCCUCUAGGGCAUAUUUCCAACAGUCUCCCACUUGCACUAGAGUCAAUAAUCCAGUUCACAUCGCUAUGUGAUUAACACUCAAGGUCACAUCCCAUGUGACUAACACCCAAAGAGUUCUGCGUUUGAUCAUGUUAUGCUUGUGAGAGAGGUUUCAGUCAACGAGUCUGCAACAUUCAGAUCCGUAUGUACUUCGCAAAUUUCUAUGUCAUCUUGUGGAUGCAACUACUAUGCUACAUUUGGAGCCAUUUCAAAUAACUAUUCUACUUGGAGCUAUUCUAAAUUGUUGCUCCAUUAUACGUAUCCGGUAUCUCUACUCAGAGCUAUUCGGAUAGGUGUUAAGCUUGCAUCGACGUAACUCUUUACGUCAAACUCUUUAUCACCUCCAUAACCGGGAAACAUAUCCUUAUUCCUCUAAGGAUAAUUUAGACCGCUAUCUGGUGAUCUACUCCUAGAUUACCUUUGUACCCUCUUGCCAGAUAUGUGGCAAGGCACACAUCAGGUGCGGUACUUAGCAUGGCACACCGUAUAGAGCCUAUGACAAAAGCAUAGGGGACGACCUUUGUCCUUCCUCUUUCUUCUGCCGUGGUCGAGCUUUAAGUCUUAACUUCAUACCUUACAACUCAGGCAAGAACUCCUUCUUUGACUGAUCCCUUGAACACCUUUAAGAUCAUGUCAAGGUAUGUGCUCAUUUGAAAGUACCAUUAAGCGUUUUGAUCUAUCCUCAUAGAUCUUAAUGCUCAACGUUCAAGUAGCUUAAUCCAGGUUUUCCAUUGAAAAACACUUUUCAAAUAACUCUGCAUGCUUUCCAGAAAUUCUACGUCAUUUCUGAUCAACAAUAUGUCAACAACAUAUAUUCAUCAGAAAUUCUAUAGUGCUCCCACUCACUUCUUUGGAAAUACAAGUUUCUCAUAAACUUUGCAUAUACCCAAAAUCUUUGAUCAUCUCAUCAAAGCAUACAUUCCAACUCCGAGAUGCUUACUCCAGUCCUUAGAAGGAUUGCUGGAGCUUUGCAUACUUGUUAGCAUCUUUUAGGAUUGACAAAACCUUCUAUUGUAUCACAUACAACUUUUCUUAGGAAAACUUGGUAAGAAAACUUGUUUUGACAUCCAUCUGUAAGAUUUCAUAAUCGAAAAAUACAGCUAAUCCUAACAUGAUUCCGACGAACUUAAGCAUCGCUACGGGUGAGAAAUUCUCAUCGUAGUUAACUCCUUGAACUUGUCAGAAAAACAUCUUAACGACAAGUCGAGCUUUCUUAAUGGUGAUACUUACCAUCAUUAUCCGUCUUCCUUUUAAAAUCCAUAUGUACCUAACAGCCUUACGACCAUCAAGUAGUUCUUCCAAAGUCUACACUUUGUUUUCAUAUAUGGAUCCUCUCUCGGAUUAUAUGGCCUCGAGCCAUUUUGGAAUCCAGGCCCACCAUCGCUUCUCCAUAGCUCGUAGGUUCAUUGUUGUCUAGCAACAUGACUUCCAAGACAGGAUUACAUACCACUCUGAAGUAGUACGCAUCCUUGUCAUCCCACAAGGUUUGGUAGUGACUUGAUCUGAAGUUUCAUGAUCACUAUCAUAAGCUUCUACUUCAAUUGGUGUAGGUGCCACAGGAACAACUCCCUGUGCCCUGCCACACACUAGUUGAAGAGACGGUUCAAUAACCUCAUCAAGUCUCCACCAUCCUCCCACUCAAUUCUUUCGAGAGAAACUUUUCCUCGAGAAAGGACCCGAUUCUAGAAACAAUCCCUUAUUGUUUUCGAAUCUGAGACAAGAGGUAUACCCAACUGUUUUGGGUGUCCUAUGAAGAUGCAUUUAUCCGCUUUGGGUUCGAGCUUAUCAGCCUGAAACUUUUUCACAUAAGCGUCGCAGCCCCAAACUUUUAAGAAAUGACAGCUUAGGUUUCUCUAAACCAUAGUUCAUACGGUGUCAUCUCAUCGGAAUUACGUGGUGCCUUAUUUAAAGUGAAUGUGGUUGUCUCUAAUGCCUAACCCAUAAACUAUCAUGGUAAUUCGAUAAGAGACAUCAUGGUAUGCAUCAUAUCCAAUAGGGUGCAGUUAUGAUGUUCGGACACACCAUCACACUAUGGUGUUCCAGGCUGUAUUAGUUGCAAAAAAAUUUCCACAAUGUCUUAAUUCUGUGCCAAACUCGUAAUUCAGAUAUUCAUCUCUAUGAUCAUAUCAUAGAUAUUUUAUCCUCUUGUCACGACGAUCUGUCACCUUCACCCUGAAAUUACUUGAACCUUUCAAUAAUUCAGACUCGUGAUUCAUCAAGUAAAUAUACUCAACAUCUACUCAAAUCAUCUGUGAAGUAAGAAUAUAAUGAUAUCCACUAUACGCCUCAACACUCAUUGGACUGCACACAUCAAAAUGUAUUACUUCCAACAAGUUGCUUUCUAGUUCCAUUUUACUGAAAACAAGGCUUUCAGUCAUCUUGCCCAUGUGGUAUGAUUUGCAUGUCUCAAGUGAUUCAAAAUCAAGUGAGUCCAAACGAUCCAUCUGUAUAGAGUUUCUUCAUGCAUAUCUACCAACAAACAUGGUUUGCAUGUCUCGAUCCUUUCAAAAAUGAGUGAGUCCAAAGAUCCAUCAACAUGGAGCUUCUUCAUGCGUUUUAUACCAAUAUGACUCAAAUUGCAGUGCCACAUUUGUGUGGUAUUAUCAUUACUAUCUUAUACCUUUGGCAUGAAAAUGUGUAUCACUAUGACCGGGAUGGUAUUAUUCAAAUAAACAGAGUAACCAUUAUUCUCCUUAAAUGAAUAACCGUAUCACGAUAGACAUAAUCCAAUCAUGUCUUUGCUCAACGCAAACACCAAUCUCGAUGGUAGAGGGAGCGUGCGAUGUUUGGUCAACCUUGGAAAUACUUCCAACACAUAUCGUCAUCUCACCUUUUAGCUAGUCUCCGUUUAUUCCGUAGCCUUUUGUUUCGAGUUACUAACACUUAGCAACCGAACCGGUAUCUAAUACCCUGGUGCUACUAGGAGUACUAGUAAAGUACACAUUAUAAUGCAUAUCCAAUAUACUUCUGUCGACCUUGCCAGCCUUCUCUACUACCAAGUAUCUAGGGUGGUUCUGCUUCAGUGACUGUUCCCCUUAUUACAGAAGCACUUAGUCUCGGGCUUGGGUUCAACUUUGGGUUUCUUCACUAGAACAGCAGCUGAUUUGCCGUUUCAUGAAGUAUCCCUUCUUGCCCUUGCCCUUCUUGAAACUAGUGGUUUCACCAACCAUCAACAAUUGAUGCUCCUUCUUGAUUUCUACUUUUGUGGUGUCAAACAUCGCGAAUAUCUCAAGGAUCAUCAUAUAUGUCCCUGUUAUAUUAUAGUUCAUCAUGAAGCUCUAGCAACUUGGUGGUAAUGACUUCGGAGAACCAUCACUAUUUCAUCUGGAAGAUCAACUCCCACUCGAUUCAAGCGAUUGUUGUACUCAAACAAUCUGAGCACAAGCUCAACAAUUGAGCUUUUCUCCCUUAGUUUGCAGGCUAAGAAAAUCGCCGGAGGUCUUAUACCUCUUGACGUGGGCACGAGCCUGAAAUCCCAAUUUUAGCCCUCGAAACAUCUCAUAUGUUUCGUGACGUUUUAAAACGUCUUCGGUGCCUCAUCUCUAAACCGUUUAACUGAACUAUCACGUAGUUAUCAAAAUGUGUAUGUCAGAUGUUCACAACAUCCACAGACGACGUUCGAGGUUCAGCACACUGAGCGGUGCAUUAAGGACAUAAGCCUUCUACUGUCUGCAUAAUUGCUACUAUCAACUUUCAACUAAUUUUUCUCUAGGAACAUAUCUAAACAGUAGAACUAAAGCGUGAGCUAUGACAUAAUUUGCAAAAUCCUUUUGACUAUGUUCAGGAUAAACAAGUUCAUCUUAUGAACUCCCACUCAGAUAGACAUCCCUCUAGUCAUCUAAGUGAUUACAUGAUCCGAGUCAACUAAGCCGUGUCCGAUCAUCACGUGAGACAGACUAGUCAUCAUCGGUGAACAUCUUCAUGUUGAUCGUAUCUACCAUACGACUCAUGCUCGACCUUUCGGUCUCUUGUAUUCUGAGGCCAUGUCUGUACAUGCUAGGCUCGUCAAGUUAACCUAAGUGUUUCGCAUGUGUUUCGAGGCCAUGUCUGUACAUGCUAGGCUCGUCAACACCCGUUGUAUUCGAACGUAAGAAUCUAUCACACCCGAUCAUCACGUGGUGCUUAGAAACGACGAACUUUCGCAACGGUGCACAGUUGGGGGGAACACUUUCUUGAAAUUUUAAUGAGGGAUCAUCUUAUUUACUACCGUUGUUCUAAGAAAAUAAGAUGCAAAAACAUGAUAAACAUCACAUGCAAUCAAAAAAACAGUGACAUGAUAUGGCCAAUAUCAUAUAGCUCCUUUGAUCUCCAUCUUGGGGUUCCAUGAUCAUCUUGUCACCGGCAUGACACCAUGAUCUCCAUCAUUGUGUCUCCAUGAAGUUGUCUCGCCAACUUAUUACUCCUACUACUAUGGCUACCGGUUAGCAAUAAAGUAAAGUAAUUACAUGGCGUUGCUCAAUGACACACAGGUCAUACAAUAAAUAAAGACAACUCCUAUGGCUCCUGCCGUUUGUCAUACUCAUCGACAUGCAAGUCGUGAUUCCUAUUACAAGAACAUGAUCAAUCUCAUACAUCACAUAUCAUUCAUCACAUUCUUCUUGGCCAUAUCACAUCACAUAGCAUACCCUGCAAAAACAAGUUAAACGUCCUCUAAUUGUUGUUUGCAUGUUUUACGUGGCUGCUAUGGGUUUCUAGCAAGAACGUUUCAUACCUACGCAAAAACCACAAUGUGAUAUGCCAAUUGCUAUUUACCCUUCAUAAGGACCCUUUUCAUCGAAUCCAAUCCGACUAAAGUGGGAGAGACAGACACCCGCUAGCCACCUUAUGCAACUAGUGCAUGUCAGUCGGUGGAACCAGUCUCACGUAAGAGUACGUGUAAGGUCGGUCCGGGCCGCUUCAUCCCACGAUGCCGCCGAAUCAAGAUUGGACUAGUAACGGUAAGCAUAUUGAACAAAAUCAACACCCACAACUACUUUGUGUUCUACUCGUGCAUAGAAACUACACAUAGACCUAGCUCAUGAUGCCACUGUUGGGGAACGUAGCAGAAAUUCAAAAUUUUCCUACGUGUCACCAAGAUCUAUCUAUGGAGAGACUAGCAAGAGGGGAAGGAGAGUGCAUCUACAUACCCUUGUAGAUCGCUAAGCGGAAGCGUUCAAGAGAACGGGGUUGAAGGAGUCGUACUCGUCGUGAUCCAAAUCACCGGAGAUCCUAGUGCCGAACGGACGGCACCUCCGCGUUCAACACACGUACAGCCCGGUGACGUCUCCCAUGCCUUGAUCCAGCAAGGAGAGAGGGAGAGGUUGAGGAAGACUCCAUCCAGCAGCAGCACAACGGCGUGGUGGUGGUGGAGGAGCAUGGUGAUCCAGCAGGGCUUCGCCAAGCACCGCGAGAUAUGAGGAGAAAGAGAGGUAGGGCUGCGCCAACAAGAGAAGAAACUUUGUCUAUGGGCUGCUCCUUUGCCUCCACUAUAUAUAGGGGGAGAGGGGGGGCUGCGCCCCCACCUAGGGUUCCACCCUAGGGGCGGCGGCCAGCCCAGAUCCCAUCUGGUGGGGCGGCCAAGGGGAGGGGGAGAGGGAGGCGCACCAGGCAUGGGCCCUAAGGCCCAUCUGCCCUUAGGGUUUGCCCCCCUCCUCCCCUUAGGCGCCUUGGUCCCUUGUGGGGGGCGCACCAGCCCACCUGGGGCUGGUCCCCUCCCACACUUGGCCCAUGCAGCCCUCCGGGGCCGGUGGCCCCACUUGGUGGACCCCCGGGACCAAAACUGGACUUCCCAUAUAUAAAUCUUUACCUCCGGACCAUUCCGGAACUCCUCGUGACGUCUGGGAUCUCAUCCGGGACUCCGAACAACAUUUGGUAACCACAUACAAACUUCCUUUAUAACCCUUGCAUCAUCGAACCUUAAGUGUGUAGACCCUACGGGUUCAGGAACCUUGCAGACAUGACCGAGACGUCCUCCGGUCAAUAACCAACAGCGGGAUAUGGAUACCCAUGUUGGUUCCCACAUGUUCCACGAUGAUCUCAUCAGAUGAACCACGAUGUCGAGGAUUUGAUCAAUCCCGUAUACAAUUCCCUUUGUCUAGCGGUACGAUACUUGCCCGAGAUUCGAUCGUCGGUAUCCCGAUACCUUGUUCAAUCUUGUUACCGGCAAGUCUCUUUACUCGUUCCGUAACACAUCAUCCCGUGAUCAAUUCCUUGAUCACAUUGUGCACAUUAUGAUGAUGUCCUACCGAGUGGGCCCAGAGAUACCUCUCUGUUUACACGGAAUGACAAAUCCCAGUCUCGAUUUGUGCCAACCCAACAGACACUUUCGGAGAUACCUGUAGUGUACCUUUAUAGCCACCCAGUUACGUUGUGACGUUUGGCACACCCAAAGCACUACUACGGUAUCCGGGAGUUGCACAAUCUCAUGGUCUAAGGAAAUGAUACUUGACAUUAGAAAAGCUUUAGCAUACGAACUACAUGAUCUUGUGCUAGGCUUAGGAUUGGGUCUUGUCCAUCACAUCAUUCUCCUAAUGAUGUGAUCCCGUUAUCAACGACAUCCAAUGUCCAUGGUCAGGAAACCGUAACCAUCUAUUGAUCAACGAGGUAGUCAACUAGAGGCUUACUAGGGACAUGGUGUUGUCUAUGUAUCCACACAUGUAUCUGAGUUUCCUAUCAAUACAAUUCUAGCAUGGAUAAUAAACGAUUAUCAUGAACAAGGAAAUAUAAUAAUAACUAAUUUAUUAUUGCCUCUGGGGCAUAUUUCCAACAAGUCAACCCCUUGAACUUGUUGAAAACCUUUCGCAACAAGUAGAGCUUUCUAGAUAGUAACAUUACCGUCAGCGAUGCUACGGGUGAGAAAGUCUCAUCGUAGUCAACCCCUUGAACUUGUCGAAAACCUUUCGCAACAAGUCGAGCUUUGUAGAUAGUAACAUUACCAUCAGCGUCAGUUUCUUCUUGAAGAUCCAUUUAUUCUCGAUGGCUUGCCAAUUAUCGGGUAAGUCAACCAAAGUCCACACUUUGUUCUCAUACAUGGAUCCCAUCUCAGAUUUCAUGGCCUCAAGCCAUUUUGCGGAAUCUGGGCUCACCAUCGCUUCUUCAUAGUUCGUAGGUUCGUCAUGGUCAAGUAACAUGACUUCCAGAACAGGAUUAUCGUACCACUCUGGUGUGGAUCUUACUCUGCUUGACCUAUGAGGUUCAAUAGUAACAUGAUCUGAAGUUUCAUGAUCAUCAUCAUUAGCUUCCUCACUAAUUGGUGUAGGUGUCACAGGAACCGGUUUCUGUGAUGAACUACUUUCCAAUAAGGGAGCAGGUACAGUUACCUCAUCAAGUUCUACUUCCCUCCCACUCACUUCUUUCGAGAGAAGCUCCUUCUCUAGAAAGGAUCCAUUUUUAGCAAAAGAUGAUUUGCCUUUGGAUCUGUGAUAGAAGGUGUACCCAAUAGUUUCCUUUGGGUAUCCUAUGAAGACACAUUUCUCCGAUUUGGGUUCGAGCUUAUCAGGUUGAAGUUUUUUUCACAUAAGCAUCGCAGCCCCAAACUUUAAGAAAAGACAACUUUGGUUUCUUGCCAAACCACAGUUCAUAAGGCGUCGUCUCAACGGAUUUCGAUGGUGCCCUAUUUAACGUGAAUGCAGCCGUCUCUAAAGCAUAACCCCAAAACGAUAGCGGUAAAUCUGUAAGAGACAUCAUAGAUCGCACCAUAUCUAGUAAAGUACGAUUACGACGUUUGGACACACCAUUAAGCUGUGGUUUUCCGGGUGGCGUGAGUUACGAAACUAUUCCGCAUUGUUUCAAAUGUAGACCAAAUCCGUAACUCAAAUAUUCUCCUCCACGAUCAGAUCAUAGAAACUUUAUUUUCUUGUUACGAUGAUUUUCCACUUCACUCUGAAAUUCAUUGAACUUUUCAAAUGUUUCACACUUAUGUUUCAUUAAGUAGAUAUACCCAUAUCUGCUCAAAUCAUCUAUGAAGGUAAGAAAAUAACGAUACCCGCCGCGAGCCUCAAUAUUCAUUGGACCACAUACAUCAGUAUGUAUGAUUUCCAACAAAUCUGUUGCUCGCUCCAUAGUGCCGGAGAACGGCGUUUUAGUCAUCUUGCCCAUGAGGCAUGGUUCGCAAGUACCAAGUGAUUCAUAAUCAAGUGAUUCAAGAAGUCUAUCACUAUGUAGUUUCUUCAUGCGCUUUACACCAAUAUGACCCAAACGGUAGUGCCACAAAUAAGUUGCACUAUCAUUAUCAACUCUGCAUCUUUUGGCUUCAACAUUAUGAAUAUGUGUAUCAUUACUAUCGAGAUUCAUCAAAAAUAGACCACUCUUCACGGGUGCAUGACCAUAAAAGAUAUUACUCAUAUAAAUAGAACAACCAUUAUUCUUAGAUUUAAAUGAAUAACCAUCUCUCAUCAAACAAGAUCCAGAUAUAAUGUUCAUGCUUAACGCUGGCACCAAAUAAAAAUUAUUCAGGUCUAAAAUUAAUCCCGAAGGUAGAUGUAGAGGUAGCAUGCUGACGGCGAUCACAUCGACUUUGGAACCAUUUCCCACGUGCAUCGUCACCUCAUCCUUAACCAAUCUUCGCUCAAUCCGUAGUCCCUGCUUCGAGUUGCAAAUAUUAGCAACAGAACCAGUAUCAAAUACCCAGGUGCUACUGCGAGCUCUAGUAAGGUACACAUCAAUAACAUGUACAUCACAUAUACCUUUGUUCACCUUGCCAUCCUUCUUAUCCGCCAAAUACUUGGGGCAGUUCCGCUUCUAGUGACCAGUCUGUUUGCAGUAGAAGCAUUCAGUCUCAGGCUUAGGUCCAGACUUGGGUUUCUUCACUUGAGCAGCAACUUGUUUGUCGUUAUUUUUUAAGUUCUCCUUCUUCUUCCCUUUACCCUUUUUCUUGAAACUGGUGGUCUUGUUGACCAUCAACACUUGAUGCUCCUUUUUGAUUUCUACCUCCGCAUUUUAGCAUUGCGAAGAGCUCGGGAAUUGUCUUAUCCAUCCUUUGCAUAUUAUAGUUCAUCGUGAAGCUCUUGUAGCUUGGUGGCAGUGAUUGAAGAACUCUAUCAAUGACACUAUCAACAGGAAGAUUAACUCCCAGUUCAGUCAAGUGAUUAUGGUACCCCAGACAUUCUGAGUAUAUGUUCACUGACAGAACUAUUCUCCUCCAUGUUGCAGCUGUAGAACUUAUUGGAGACUCCAUAUCUCUCAAUCCGGGUAUUUGCUUGAAAUAUUAACUUCAACUCUUGGAACAUCUCAUAUGCUCCAUGACGUUCAAAACAUUGUUGAAGUCCCGGUUCUAAGCCAUAAAGCAUGACACACUGAACUAUUGAGUAGUCAUCAGCUUUGCUCUGCUAGACGUUCUUAACAUCAUCAGCAGCAUCUGCAGCAGGCCAGGCACCCAGCGGUGCUUCCAGGUCGUAAUUCUUCUGUGCAGCAAUGAGGAUAAUCCUCAAAUUACAGACCCAGUCCGUGUAAUUGCUACCAUCAUCUUUCAACUUUCCUUUCUCAAGGAACGCAUUAAAAUUCAACGGAACAACAACACGGGCCAUCUAUCUACAACAACAUAGACAAGAAAAAUACUAUCAGGUACUAAGUUCAUGAUAAAUUUAAGUUCAAUUAAUCAUAUUACUGAAGAAAUCCCACUUAGAUAGGUAUCCCUCUAAUCAUCUAAGUGAUCGCGUGAUCCAAAUCAACUAAACCAUAACCGAUCAUCACGUGAAAUGGAGUAGUUUUCAUUGGUGAACAUCACUAUGUUGAUCAUAUCUACUAUAUGAUUCACACUCGACCUUUCAGUCUCAGUGUUCCAAGGCCAUAUCUACAUAUGCUAGGCUCGCGAUGUUUAACCCGAGUAUUCCGCAUGUGCAAAACUGGCUUGCACCCGUUGUAUAAGAACGUUGAGCUUAUCACACCCGAUCAUCACGUGGUGUCUCGACACGACGAUCUUUUGCAACGGUGCAUACUAAGGCAGAACACUUUUACCUUGAAAUUUAGUGAGAGAUCAUCUUAUAAUGCUACCAUCAAACAAAGCAGAAUAAGAUGCAUAAAGGAUAAACAUCACAUGAAAUCAAUAUAAGUGAUAUGAUAUGGCCAUCAUCAUCUUGUGCCUUUGAUCUCCAUCUCCAAAGCACCGUUAUGAUCACCAUCGUCACCGGCGCGACACCUCGAUCUCCAUCAUAGCAUCGUUGUCGUCUUGCCAACUAUUGCUUCUACGACUAUCGCUACCGCUUAGUGAUAAAGUAAAGCAAUUAUAGGGCGAUUGCAUUGCAUACAAUAAAGCGACAACCAUAUGGCUCCUGCCAGUUGCCGAUAACUCUGUUACAAAACAUGAUCAUCUCAUACAAUAAAAUAUAGCAUCAUGCCUUGACCAUAUCACAUCACAACAUGCCCUGCAAAAACAAGUUAGACAUCCUCUACUUUGUUGUUGCAAGUUUUACGUGGCUGCUACGGGCUGAGCAAGAACCGUUCUUACCUACGCAUGAAAACCACAUUGAUAGUUCUUCAAGUUGGUGCUAUUUUAACCUUCAACAAGGACCGAGCGUAGCCACAUUCAGUUCAACUAAAGUUGGAGAAACUGACACCCGCCAGCCACCUAUGUGCAAAGCACGUCGGUAGAAUCAAUCUCGCGUAAGCGAACGCGUAAUGUCGGUCCAGGCCACUUCAUCCAACAAUACCGCCGAACCAAAGUAUGACAUGCCGGUAAGCAGUAUGACUUGUAUCGCCCACAACUCACUUGUAUUCUACUCAUGCAUAUAACAUCUAUGCAUAAACCUGGCUCGGAUGCCACUGUUGGGGAACGUAGUAAUUUCAAAAUUUUCCUACGCACACGCAAGAUCAUGGUGAUGCAUAGCAAUGAGAGGGGAGAGUAUUGUCCACGUACCCUCGUAGACCAUUUAGCGGAAGCGUUAUGAAAACGUGGUUGAUGUAGUCGUACAUCUUCACGAUCGACCGAUCCUCAGUACCGAACGUACGGCACCUCCAUGUUCAGCACACGUUCAGCUCGGUGACGUCCUAUGAACUCACGAUCCAGUAGAGCUCGAGGGAGAGUUUCAUCAGCAUGACGGCGUGGUGAUGAUGUUGAUGAAGCUACCGACGCAAGGCUUCGCCUAAGCACCGCUACGAUAUGACCGAGGUGGAUUAUGGUGGAGGGGGGCACCGCGCACGGCUAAGAGAGAUCAAUGAUCAACUUGUGUGUCCUGGGGUGCCCCCUGCCCCCGUAUAUAAAGGAGCAUGGGGGAGGCUAGCCGGCCCUAUAGGGCGCGCCAGGAGGAGGAGUCCUCCUCCUAGUAGGAGUAGGACUCCCCUCUUUCCUACUCCUACUAGGAGGGGGAAAGGAAGGAGAAGGAAAAGGAAAGGGGGCGCCCUCCCCCAUCCUAGUCCAAUUCGGACCAGAGGGGGAGGGGGUGCGUGGCCUGCCCUGGCUGGCCCCUCUCUCUCCACUAGGGCCCAACAAGGCCCAUUAACCCCCGGGGGGUUCCGGUAACCCCUCUGGCACUCUGGUAAAAUCCCGAUUUCACCCGAAACUCUUCCGAUGUCCAAAUGUAGGCUUCCAAUAUAUCAAUCUUUAUGUCUCAACCAUUUCGAGACUCCUCGUCAUGUCCGUGAUUAUAUCUGGGACUCCGAAAUACCUUCGGUACAUCAAAACAUAUAAACUCAUAAUACCAAUCGUCACAGAACUUUAAGCGUGCGGACCCUACGGGUUCGAGAACUAUGUAGACAUGACCGAGACACGUCUCCGGUUAAUAACCAAUAGCGGAACAUGGAUGCUCAUUUUGGUUCCUACAUAUUCUACGAAGAUCUUUAUCGGUCAAACCGCAAAAUAACAUACGUUGUUCCCUUUGUCAUCGGUAUGUUACUUGCCCGAGAUUCAAUUGUCGGUAUCUCAAUAUCUAGUUCAAUCUCGUUACCGGCAAGUCUCUUUACUCAUUUCGUAAUGCAUCAUCCUGCAACUAACUCAUUAGUCACAUUGCUUGCAAGGCUUAUAGUGAUGUGCAUUACCGAGAGGCUUAUAGCGAUGUGCAUUACCAAGAGGGCCCAGAGAUACCUCUCCGACAAUCGGAGUGACAAAUCAUAUUCUUGAUCUAUGCCAACUCGAUGAACACCAUCGGAGACACCUGUAGAGCACCUUUAUAAUCACCCAGUUACGUUGUGACGUUUGGUAGCACACAAAGUGUUCCUCCGGUAUUCGGGAGUUGCAUAAUCUCAUAGUCAUAGGAACAUGUAUAAGUCAUGAAGAAAGCAAUAGCAGUAAACUAAACGAUCAAGUGCUAAGCUAACGGAAUGGGUCUAGUCAGUCACAACAUUCUCCUAAUGAUGUGAUCCCAUUGAUCAAAUGACAACUCAUGUCUAUGGCUAGGAAACUCAACGAUCUUUGAUCAACGAGCUAGUCAAGUAGAGGCAUACUAGUGACACUAUGUUUGUCUAUGUAUUCACACAUGUAUUAUGUUUCCAGUUAAUACAAUUCUAGCAUGAAUAAUAAACAUUUAUCAUGAUAUGAGGAAAUAAAUAAUAACUUUAUUAUUGCCUCUAGGGCAUAUUUCUUCAAUUAUAUGGCGUUUGCAUUUCAUACAAUAAAGAUACAACCAUAAGGCUCCUGCCGGUUGCCGAUAACUUUUACAAAACAUGAUCAUCUCAUACAAUAACGUAUAUCACAUCAUGUCUUGACCACAUCACAUCACAACAUGCCCUGCAAAAACAAGUUAGGCGUCCUCUACCUUAUUGUUGCUAGUUUUACGUGGCUGCUACGGACUUCUAGCAAGAACCGUUCUUACCUACGCAUCAAAACCACAGCGGUGAUUUAUCAAGUUUGCUGUUUUAACCUUCAACAUGGACCGCCCGCAGUCAAAUUUGAUUCAACUAAAGUAGGAGAAACAGACACCCGCCAGCCACCUUUAUGCAAAACUAGUUGCAUGUUUGUCGGUGGAACUGGUGAUACGUCCAUUUUGCAUCAUGUUUUGUUACUGUUAUUUAUAAUGUUUUAUCCAUAAUAAUGCUUUUUGGAGUAAUUCUAAUGCCCUUUCUCUCAUAAUUUGCAAGGAACACACCAAUAGGGAGAAUUCCAGUAGCUGGAAAUCUGGACCUGGAAAAGCUACGUCAGGCCACCUAUUCUGCACAACUCCAAAUGAGCUGAAACUUCACGGAGAUUUUUUAUGUAUUAUUUAAGAAAUACUGGAGCCAAUAAACACCAGAGGGGGGGGGCACCAGGUGGGCACAACCCACCUUGGCGUGCUAGGCCCCCCAGACGCGCCCUGGUGGGUUGUGGCCUCCUAGGCCCACCUCUGGUGCCCAUCUUCUGCUAUAUAAGUCAUUUUGACCUAGUAAAAAUAAGGAGGAGACUUUUGGGAUGAAGCACCAACGCCUUGAGGCGGAAUUUGGGCAGGAGCACUUUUGCCCUCCGGCGGAGUGAUUCCGCCAGGGGAACUUCCCUCCCAGAGGGGGAAAUCAUCGUCAUCAUCAUCACCAACAACUCUCCCAUCUUGGGGAGGGCAAUCUCCAUCAACAUCUUCAACAACACCAUCUCCUCUCAAACCCUAGUUCAUAUUUUGCGUUCAAUCUUGUUACAGGAACUACAGAUUGGUGCUUGUGGGUGACUAGUAGUGUUGAUUACAUCUUGUAGUUGAUUACUAUAUGGUUUAUUUGGUGGAAGAUUAUAUGUUCAGAUCCAUUAUGCUAUUUAAUACUCCUAUGAUCAUGAACAUGUUUAUCAUUUGUGAGUAGUUACUUUUGUUCUUGACGUCACGGGAGAAAUCAUGUUGCAAGUAAUCAUGUGAACUUGAUAUGUGUUCGAUAUUUUGAUAGUAUGUAUGUUGUUAUCCCCUUAGUGGUGUCAUGUGAACGUCGACUACAUGACACUUCACGAUAUUUGGGCCUAAGGGAAUGCAUUGUGUAGUAGCAAUUAGAUGGUGGGUUGCGAGAGUGACAGAAUCUUAAACCCCAGUUUAUGCGCUAUUUUGUAAGGGACCGAUGGGACAUAAGUUUAAUGCUAUGGUUAGAAUUUGUUCUUAAUACUUUCCUCGUAGUUUCGGAUGCUUGCGGGAGGGUCAAUCAUAAGUAAGAGGUUUGUUCAAGUAAGAACAACACCUAAGCACCGGUCCACCCACGUACCAAAUUAUCAAAGUAGCAAACACAAAUCAAACCAACAUGAUGAAAGUGGGCACAAACCACCUGGGCGCGCCAGGCCCACCCCCCAGGCGCGCCCUGGUGGGUUGUGGCCUCCUCGGCCCACCUCAUGUGCCCAUCUUCUGGUAUAUAAGUAAUUUUGACCUAGAAAAAAUAAGGAGGAGACUUUCGGGACGAAGCGCUACCGCCUCGAGGUGGAACUUGGGCAGGAGCACUUUAGCCCUCCGGCGAGCGAUUCCGCCGGGGGAACUUCCCUCCCGGAGGGGGAAAUCAUCGUCAUCAUCAUCACCGACAACUCCCCCAUCUUGGGAAGGGUAAUCUCCAUCAAAAUAUGCAACAACACCAUCUCCUCUCAAACCCUAGUUCAUCUCUUGUGUUCAAUCUUGUUACCGGAACUAUAGAUUGGUGCUUGUGGGUGACUAGUAGUGUUGAUUACAUCUUGUAGUUGAUUACUAUAUGGUUUAUUUGGUGGAAGAUUAUAUGUUCAGAUCCAUUAUUCUAUUUGAUACUCCUAUGAUCAUGAACAUGUUUAUCAUUUGUGAGUAGUUACUUUUGUUCUUGAGGUCACGGGAGAAAUCAUGUUGCAAGUAAUCAUGUGAACUUGAUAUGUGUUCGAUAUUUUGAUAGUGUGUAUGUUGUUAUUCCCUUAGAGGUGUCAUGUGAACGUCGACUACAUGACACUUCACCAUAUUUGGGCCUAAGGGAAUGCAUUGUUGAGUAGCAAUUAGAUGGUGGGUUGCGAGAGUGACAGAAGCUUAAACCCCAGUUUAUGCGCUAUUUUGUAAGGGACCGAUUGGGUCCAAAAGUUUAAUGCUAUGGUUAGAAUUUAUUCUUAAUACUUUUCUCAUAGUUGCGGAUGCUUGCGGGAGGGUUAAUCAUAAGUAGGAGGUUUGUUCAAGUAAGAAGAACACAUAAGCACCGGUCCACCCACCUAUCAAAUUAUCAAAGUAGUGAAGACAAAUCAAACCAACAUGAUGAAAGUGACUAGAUGAAAUUCCCGUGUACCCUCAAGAAUGCUUUUCUUAUCAUAAGAGACCAUUUUGGCCUCUGCUUUGCCUCAAAAGGAUUGGGCUACCUUGCUGCACUUUUGUUACUAAUAUUGUUACUUGCUCAUUACAAAUUAUCUUGCUAUUAAACUACUCCGUUACUUACAAUUUCAGCACAUGCAGACAUUACCUUACUGAAAACUACUUGUCAUUUCCUUCUUCUCCUUGUUGGGUUCGACGCUCCUACUUAUCGAAAAGAGCUACAAUUGAUCCCUAUACUUGUGGGUCAUCAACCUCUCUCAUGAACGUGGUCAUGUAGGGUUGGUCCGGGCCGCUUCAUCCAAUGAUACCGCUGAAUCAAAAUAAGACGUUGGUGGUAAGAAGUAUGACUAUCACCGCCCACAACUCUUUGUGUUCUACUCGUGCAUCUCAUCUAUGCAUAGACCUGGCUCUGAUACCACUGUUGGGAAACGUAGCAUGUAAUUUCAAAAAAUGCUAUGCUCAAGCAAGAUCUAUCUAGGAGAUGCAUAGCAAUGGAAGGGAGAGAGUGUGUCCACGUACCCUCGUAGACCAAAAGCGGAGCCGUUUCACAACGCGGUUGAUGUAGUCGAACUUCUUCUUGUUCCGACCGAUCAAACACCGAAAGUACGGCACCUCCGAGUUCUGCACACGUUCAGCUCGAUGACAUCCCUCAAACUCUUGAUCCAGCAAAGUGUCAAGGGAGAGUUUCAUCAGCAUGACGGCGUGGUGACGGUCAUCAUGAAGUGAUCCACACAGGGCUUCGCCUAAGCACUAUGACAAUAUGACCGGAGGUGUAAACUGUGGAGGGGGCGCCGCACAAGACUGGGAAUCAAUGUUGUUUGUUCUAGUGGUGCCCCCUCAAAUGUAUAGGUUGGAGGGGAGGAGAGGCAGCCAAGGGGGCACCCCAAGUAGGAGGAAUCCUACUUGGGUGCCUUCCAAUUCGGCCUCCCCCCUUCCAUAUUCAUCCGGAAGGGGAAGGAAAGAGGAGAGAGGAGAGAAGGAUGGGGGAGGCCGAAUCCCUCCCCUUCCUUUCCCACUUCUCCUCUUUCCUUCACCCUUAUUUUGGCCUACAUGGGGCGCACCAGCCCCCUAGGGGCUGGUCUGUCCCCUUCUUGGCCCAUUAGGCCCAUGUAGUUGCCGGGGGAUGCUCGGAACCCCUUCAGGUGACCUGAUAUGUACCUGGUACCCCUAGAACACUCCUAACGUCCGAAUAUCAUCGUCAUAUAUAUAUGAAUCUUUACCUCUCAACCAUUUCGAGACUCCUCGUCAUGUCCGUGAUCUCAUCCGGGACUCUGAACAACAUUCGGUCAUCGAAUCACAUAACACAUAUAAUACAAAAUCGUCAUCGAACGUUAAACGUGUGGACCCUAUGGGUUCGAGAACUAUGUAGACAUGACCGAGACACCUCUCCGGUCAAUAACCAACAGCGGAACAUGGAUGCUCAUAUUGGUUUCCACAUAUUCUAUGAAGAUCUUUAUUAGUAGUACCAUAAUGACAACAUACAUUAUUCCCUUUGUCAUCGGUAUGUUACUCGCCCGAGAUUCGAUCGUCGGUAUCUUCAUACCUAGUUCAAUCUUGUUACCGGCAAGUCUCUUUACUCGUUCCACAAUACAUCAUCCUGCAACUAACUCAUUAGUCACAUUGCUUACAAGGCUUAUUAUGAUGUGUAUUACCGAGGACCCAAAGAUACCUCUCCGAUACUCGGAGUGACAAAUCCUAAUCUUGAUCUAUGCCAACCCAACAAACACCUUCAAAGAUACCUAUAGAGCAUCUUUAUGAUCACCCAGUCAUGUUGUGACCUUUGAUAGCACACAAGGUAUUCCUCCAGUAUCCGGGAGUUGCAUAAUCUCAUAGUCAAAGGAAUAUGUAUAUGACAUGAAGAAAGCAAUAGCAAUAAAACUUAAUGAUCAUUAUGCUAAGCUAAGGGAUGGGUCUAGUUCAUCACAUAAUUCUCCUAAUGAUUGAUCUCGUUCAUAAAAUGACAACUCAUGUCUAUGGUUAGGAAACUUAACCAUAUUUGAUUAAUGAGCUAGUCUAGUAGAGGCUUACUAAGGGACACUGUGUUUUGCCUAUGUAUCCACACAUGUAUCAAGUUUCCGGUUAAUACAAUUCUAGCAUGAAUAAUAAACAUUUAUCAUGAUAUAGGGAAAUAUAAAUAACAACUUUAUUAUUGCCUCUAGGGCAUAUUUCCUUCAGUCUCCCACUUGUACUAGAGUCAAUAAUCUAGUUCACAUCGCCAUGUGAUUUAACACCAAUAGUUCACAUCUUUAUGUGAUUAACACCCAUAGUUCACAUCGUCAUGUGACCAACACCCACAAGUUUACUAGAGUCAAUAAUCUAGUUCACGUCGCUGUGAUUAACACCCAAACAUUACUAAGGUGUGAUCAUGUUUUGCUUGUGAGAGAAGUUUAGUCAACGGGUCUGGCACAUUCAGAUCCAUAUGUAUUAUGAAAAUUUCUAUGUCUACAAUGCCCUACAUGGAGCUAAUCUAGCUAAUUGCUCCCACGUUCAAUAUGUAUCUAAAUUGAUACUUAGGGUCAUCUAGUCAGUGUCAAAGCUUGCAUUAAUGUAAAUCUUUACGACGAACUCUUUAUCACCUCCAUAACCGAGAAACAUUUCCUUAGUCCUCUUUAAGGUAACUAAGGAUAAUUCUGACCGCUGCCUAGUGAUCGAUUCCUGGAUCACUAUUGUACCCCUUGCCAAACUCAAGGUAGGGUACACAACAUUUUUGGUACACAGCAUGGCAUACUUUUAUAAAACCUAUGGCUGAGGCGUAGGGAAUGACUUUCAUUCUCUCUUUAUCUUCUGCCGUGGUCGGGUUUUGAGUCUUUACUCAACUUCACACCUUACAAUACAGACAAGAACUCCUUCUUUGACUGAUCCAUUUUGAACUCUUUGAAAAAUCUUGUCAAGGUUUGUACUCAUUGAAAGUAUUAUCAAGCGUCUUGAUCUAUCUCUGUAGAUCUUGAUUAAGGAAAUAUGCCCUAGAGGCAAUAAUAAAGUUGUUAUUUAUAUUUCCUUAUAUCAUGAUAAAUGUUUAUUAUUCAUGCUAGAAUUGUAUUAACCAGAAACUUGAUACAUGUGUGAAUACAUAGACAAAACAAAGUGUCCCUAGUAUGCCUCUACUUGACUAGCUCGUUAAUCAAAGACUGACCAUAGACAUGUGUUGUCAUUUGAUGAACGGGAUCACAUCAUUAGGAGAAUGAUGUGAUGGACAAGACCCAUCUGUUAGCUUAGCAUAAUGAUCGUUAAGUUUUAUUGCUAUUGGUUUCUUCAUGAUUUAUACAUAUUCCUUUGACUAUGAGAUUAUGCAACCCCCGAAUACCGGAGGAACACCUUGUGUGCUAUCAAACAUCACAACAUAACUGGGUGAUUAUAAAGAUGCCCUAAAAGUGUCUCUAAAGGUGUUUGUUGGGUUGUCAUAGAUCGACAUUAGGAUUUGUCACUCCGAGUAUCGGAGAGGUAUCUUUGCGCGCUCUCGGUAAUGCACAUCACGAUAAGCCUUGCAAGCAAUGUGACUAAUGAGUUAGUUGCGGGAUGAUGCAUAAGGUUACUGUUUACAAAGCUCGACUUAAUGCAUAAGGUUUUCGACAAGUUCAAGGAGUUGACUACGAUGAGACCUUCUCACCCAUAGCGAUGCUUAAGUCUGUCUGAAUCAUGUUAGCAAUUGCCGCAUUUUAUGAUUAUGAAAUUUGGCAAAUGGAUGUCGAAACUUCAUUCCUUAAUGGAUUUCUUAAAGAAAAGUCGUAUAUGAUGCAACCAGAUGGUUUUAUCGAUCCUAAAGGUGCUAACAAAGUGUGCAAGCUCCAUCAAUCCAUUUAUGGACUGGUGCAAGCCUCUCGGAGUUGGAAUAUAUGCUUUGAUAGUGUGAUCAAAGCAUAUGGUUUUAUACAGACUUUUGGAGAAGCCUGUGUUUACAAGAAAGUGAGUGGGAUCUCUUUAGCAUUUCUAAUAUUAUAUGUGGAUGGCGUAUUGUUGAUUGGAAAUGAUAUAGAAUUUCUGGAUAGCACUAGCAAAAGGGCCCGUGCGUUGCAACGGGAGAAACAAAUAUUGUACAUCCUAGUUUGUGUUUCUACUUGAUUGGCACAUAUUAUGACUAAAAUUUGUUUGUAGAUCAAAAAGAGCAAUCCACUUUAGUACCAACUUCAACUUUGCACAUUUUUAAACUUGUAAUGCAGUGUAAUCAUGUGUCUUGAAUAGCUAGCACGGACACGAAAUCAUCUAAUCGUCAGCCGCUCUACAUUAGCUCAUUUGUACACUUCUUGUGCUCUUGUUCUUGCAUGUCCCAUCGCAAACGCUCACUCAACAGAAGAGAUGAGAGAGAUACAGUAGUAUUCACAAGAGUGUACGCAAGCAAGCUUUGGUUUCUAACCCACAGAAGACCAAUUUUUUUAACCUACAAAAGAGAUAUUUAGUCCGUAUGGGCAUCAUCCUUUUGCACAUAUUGUCGGAAUGCCGUUCAAAGAAAUAGCUAGCAUGGACCUGAAAGAGAUACAAACCUACAUUUUUCUCAAUAUUAGUACAAUACAUAGUCAUGGGUACCAUUUCUUUCUCAAUCAGCAUGAUUACCUGGCAAGAUCACAAAUUUGUGUUGCUGAAAUUUCAUGACAAUAGAGAGGGGAUUCAAGAAGAAAACUGCCAAAUAAAGAGCUGAAGAAGCCCAUCUCAUCGUCAUAUGCCACCAGUUGUUUGACUUGAUGGAUGAAACAAACUAAUACCCUCAAAUAAUUUUACCUUUGGCCAUGGUGAAGAUUAUAUUUUGAUAACCGUACCACGAGACAAUAUCAUGUUGCAACAGACCAGUAAUUGGUUUGAACUGUAAAAUAAACAUUCAGUUCCUCUGAAUUCUGAAGUCAAAAGCAACCUUAUUGUAUUAGCUACACCUAGCUAGCUGCGCAUUGCUGCAUCAUAGUAAGAAUGCCAUGGUUAUGAACAUUAUCAAACUUAUUAUUUUGAAAACAACAAUAUUCCAGAAGAAAAUGCCAUGGUUGUGUAUGUUAUCAAAAACACAAAAAUUAAAAUUGUCGUUCCAAGUUGCAUGGUCUCUAUCCUGUUGGUGAACUGGCACAUCCUGGGAGCGGAAGUAUUAUAGACACACAAAGCCUCUAAUUAUUGUCAGAGGCUUGUAUCAAGCUGCAGAAGGCCACAAAAAGCAUUUACUCAGGCAUGUUGGCAUGGCUCUGGAGCUUUGCCCGUAAGUUAAUGGUGGAUAGAAUUUUAGUAGUGAAAGAAGCAAACCAGUGUGUCAUCCAUAUCCUCAAAUUGCAUAUGAAUCAAAAAGUGAAACUAAUGCUCGAGAACAAGUCAUUUAUUUAGCAUCGAUCAGUGAGCAGCAACAUAGAAGGACUAUUUAUUUGGUUUCUGGCAGCGAGCAGAAAUAUAUAUAAGAGGGUCAACAUUGUCUUACAAACUCCCAGAAAUGCAUGCUCAUGUUGCGAGUAAGCACUAAACUUAUAAUUCAAUAUAAUGUAAAAAUGUCAAUAAAGAACAUGUAAAGUGAUAAGUGCACCAUGGAACAUUUUCACACUGGAGUGCGACACCAAAUGCAUGGUAUAGGAGGAAACUCUUAUUACCAAAUGAUUCAGAUAUAUAUGACUACAACACACAGUACUGUUGGAAUGCUAGCUGAAGAAAGAUUUCAUGGUAGAACAGUUAUUAUUAAAAAAUCAUGAGGCCAAAUGGCCAACAAUUUAGUGCCCCCCUGUAAUUUUGGGCCAACAUUGUUCAUAUAUUUCCAGUGUAUAUAUCCCAAAGUAGUUGCAUCCCUUUCUAGCUUUUUAUUGUAUCACCAGUUGAUUGACCACUAACUAAUAGAAUAUUCCUGAUAAAAGUUUCUUAUAGUUAGAAUUGAAGCCUUCUGAAGUUAGCAACUCAUCUAAUAUCUAUAAUGCCUUGCCCGACAUCAAGAAAUAAGGAUGAGAAUGCAGAGUGAAUGGUUCAACAUAGGAUGAAAAAAGUUAAAGCAUUCCUAACUUGUUGUGGUGGACAGAAUAGCGUAAACGCAGCUCAAUCUCGUCCUCAUUGAAUUCAUUGAUGAAGUGGUCCAAGUUUCAAGACAUAAAGGAGGAGCAAACAAUUCCCCUAUGCAUUGCUGCCUAAGAACAAUAACAGCAGCUUCUCAGAUUGAUCUACGCAGGCCACUGUAACUGAGAGGGGAGGAGAAGAGGCAUACUGCCAUGGUACUGAUCCAGCACUAGCGGAUAUGCGCACCUCCUACUUGCGCUUCCGACUUGGUGCCCGAUUCCGCUGCCAGGACCUCGCGCGUGGGAAGCCAGCGAUGUGCGGUCGUCUUGGAUCAGACUGGGAGCAGCAGUGGAGGGUGGAACCGAUCUGGUAAAAGAAAGGUUGGGGGCUUGGAGAUUGGGAGGAGCAGUGGAGGGAGGAACUGAUCUGGUAAAAGCAAGGUUGGGGCUUGGGGAUUACUGGAUUAGCAUCGGUGCUUUUGCACCACCGUUUCUCUCCGCAGGGUGGGGUGGGGUGGGGUUUGGGGGGGCGUUCAGCCGCACGGUAGCUCCACCACCAUUGGCAUUGAGACGCUUGCAGCCUUGUGGGGCAGGAUAAGGAAGCAGACGGGGAGGGGAGAAGGUGGCGGACAUAGAGUGGGGGAGGAGGAGGCGAGAUGGCGGAGCUGCGGCCAUGGCGGCGAGCUGGUGGAGGUGCGGCGGCCAUGGGGCGAGCUGGCGGAGGUGUGGAGGCAGCGGCGGCGGUGUGGCUCGGCUGGGCAUAGGUGAGGGGUCGAGGAGGCAGAUGCCUACGGGCGCUUUGUUUUCCAGCAAACCGUUUUUUUCUUUUCCGUAGCAGAUUAAUUAUGGAAUGCGGGUUUAAUUCCUAAAAAUUAGAAGGACCUUUGUGUAAAAACACCGCAACGGUGAAUCCAGAGACUCAAUCCGUGCUUUAUUAUUAGGGAGAGAUUAAAGGAUACUUGAAUAAGAAUUUUUCAAUGAAAGACCUCAGAGAAGCUACUUAUAUAUUAGGCAUCAAGAUCUAUAGAGAUAGAUCAAGACGCUUAAUUGGACUUUCACAAAACACAUACCUUGAUAAAUUUUGAAGAAGUUCAAAAUGGAUCAGUCAAAGAAAGGGUUCUUGCCUAUGUUACAAGGUGUGAAGUUGAGUCAAACUCAAUGCCCGACCAUUGCAGAAGAUAGAGAGAAAAUGGAAGUCAUUCCCUAUGCCUCAGCCAUAGGUUCUAUCAUGUAUGCAAUGCUGUGUACCAGACCUGAUGUGUGCCUUGCUAUAAGUUUAGCAGGGAGGUACCAAAGUAAUCUAGGAGUGGAUCACUGGACAGCGGUCAAGAACAUCCUGAAAUACCUAAAAAGGACCAAGGAUAUGUUUCUCAUUUAUGGAGGUGACAAAGAGCUUGUUGUAAAUGGUUACAUCGAUGCUAGCUUUGACACUGAUCCAGAUGACUCUAAGUCGCAAACCGGAUAUGUAUUUAUAUUGAAUGGUGGAGCUAUCAAUUGGUGAUGUUCCAAGCAGAGCAUCGUGGCAGGAUCUAUGUGUGAAGCAGAGUACAUAGCUGUUACGGAAGCAACAAAUGAAAAGGUCUGGAUGAAGGAGUUCAUAUCCGAUCUAGGUGUAAAACCUAGUGCAUCAGGUCCAAUGAAAAUCUUUUGUGACAAUAAUGGACCAAUUUCCUUAGCGAAGGAAUCCAGAUUUCACAAGAGAACCAAACACAUCAAGAGACACUUCAACUCCAUCCGUGAUCAAGUCAAGGAAGGAGACAUAGAGAUUUGCAAAAUACAUAUGGAUCUGAAUGUUGCAGACUCGUUGACUAAGCCUCUUCCAUGAGCAAAACAUGAUCAACACCAAGACUCAAUGAGCGUUAGAAUCAUUACAAUGUAAUCUAGAUUAUUGACUCUAGUGCAAGUGGGGGACUGAAGGAAAUAUGCCCUAGAGGCAAUAAUAAAGUUGUUAUUUAUAUUUCCUUAUAUCAUGAUAAAUGUUUAUUAUUCAUGCUAGAAUUGUAUUAACCGGAAACAUGAUACAUGUGUGAAUACAUAGACAAAACAAAGUGUCCCUAGUAUGCCUCUACUUGACUAGCUCGUUAAUCAAAGAUGGUUAAGUUUCCUGACCAUAGACAUGUGUUGUCAUUUGAUGAACGGGAUCACAUCAUUAGGACAAUGAUGUGAUGGACAAGACCCAUUCGUUAGCUUAGCAUAAUGAUCGUUAAGUUUUAUUGCUAUUGCUUUCUUCAUGACUUAUACAUAUUCCUUUGACUAUGAGGUUAUGCAACUCCUGAAUAUCGGAGGAACGCCUUGUGUGCUAUCAAAUGUCACAACAUAACUGGGUGAUUAUAAAGAUGCUCUAUAGGUGUCUCCAAAGGUGUUUGUUGGGUUGGCAUAGAUCGAGAUUAGGAUUUGUCACUCCGAGUAUCAGAGAGGUAUCUUUGGGCCCUCUCGGUAAUGCACAUCACGAUAAGCCUUGCAAACAAUGUGACUAAUGAGUUAGUUGUGGGGUGAUGAAUUAUGGAACAAGUAAAGAGACUUGCCCGUAACGACAUUGAACUAGGUAUGAGGAUACCGACGAUCGAAUCUCGGGCAAGUAAUAUACUGUUGACAAAGGGAAUGACGUAUGUUGUCAUGGUGGUUUGACCGAUAAAGAUCUUCAUAGAAUAUGUAGGAACCAAUAUGAGCAUCUAGGUUCCACUAUUGGUUAUCGAUCGAAGAUGUGUCUCGGUCAUGUAUACAUAGUUCUCGAACCCGUAAGGUCCGCACGCUUAACGUUUGAUGACAAUUUGUAUUAUGAGUUAUGUGUUUUGGCAAUCGAAGAUUGUUCGGAGUCCCGGAUGAGAUCAUGGACAUGACGAGGAGUCUCAAAAUAGUCGAGAGGUAAAGAUUGAUAUAUUGGACGAUGGUAUUCGGACACUAGAAUGGUUUCGGGACGUUUCGGAUAUUUAUCAGAGUACCGAGGGGUUACCGGAACGCCCCGGGGAAGUAUUGGGUCUACAUGGGCCGUAGGGGAGAGAGAGGGGAGCCGACAAGGGGUGCCCCCCCCACGGGAGUCCAAAUUGGACAAGGGGGAAGGGGGCCGUGCCCCCUUUCCUUCUCCCUCUCCCUCUCCUUCCCUUUCCACCCUCCGAAAGAAUGGAAAGGGGGCCGACUUGGAUUGGGAGUCCUAGUUGGUUCCCCUUGAUACGUCUCCAACAUAUCUAUAAUUUUUGAUUGCUCCAUGCUAUAUUAUCUACUGUUUUGGACCAUAUUGGGCUUUAUUUUCCACUUUUAUAUUAUUUUUGGGACUAACCUAUUAACCGGAGGCCCGGCCCAGAAUUGUUGUUUUUUGCCUAUUUCAGUGUUUCGGAGAAACAGAAUAUCAAACGGAGUCCAAACGGAAUGAAACCUUCGGGAACAUGAUUUUCUCAUGAGAUAAGACCAAGGAGACUUGGACCCUCCGUCAAGAAAGCCACAAGGCAGUCACGAGGGUGGAGGGCGCCCCCUAGGGUGCGCCCCCUGCCUCGUGGGCCCCUCGAAGCUCCACCGACGUACUCCUUCCUCCUAUAUAUACCUACGUACCCCCAAAUGAUCGGGGACGGAGCCAAAAACCAAAUUCCACCGCCGCAACUUUCUGUAUCCACGAGAUCCCAUCUUGGGUUCUGUUCCGGAGCUCCACCGGAAGGGGAAUCGAUCACGGAGGGCUUCUACAUCAUCAUCCAAGCCCCUCCGAUGAAGUGUGAGUAGUUUAUUUCAGACCAACGGGUCCAUAGUUAGUAGCUAGAUGGCUUCUUCUCUCUUUUUGUAUCUCAAUACAAUGUUCUCCCCCUCUCUCGUGGAGAUCUAUUUGAUGUAAUCUUCUUUUUGCGGUGUGUUUGUUGAGACCGAUGAAUUGUGGGUUUAUGAUCAAGUCUAUCUAUGAAUAAUAUUUGAAUCUUCUCUGAAUUCUUUUAUGUAUGAUUGGUUAUCUUUGCAAGUCCCUUUGAAUUAUCAGUUUGGUUUGGCCUACUAGACUAGUUUUUCUUGCCAUGGGAGAAGUGCUUAGCUUUGGGUUCAAUCUUGCAGUGUCCUUUCCCAGUGACAGAAGGGGCAGCAAGGCACGUAUUGUAUUGUUGCCACGAGGAUAACAAGAUGGGGUUUUUAUCAUAUUGCAUGAAACUAUCCCUCUACAUCAUGUCAUCUUGCUUAAGGCGUUACUUUGUUUUUAACUUAAUACUCUAGAUGCAUGCUGGAUAGCGGUCGAUGAGUCGAGUAACUAGAUGUAGGCAGGAGUUGGUCUACUUGUCUCGGACGUGAUGCCUAUAUACAUGACUAUGCUCAAUUCUCUCAAUUGCUCAACAGUAAUUUGUUCACCCACCAUAGAAUACUUAUGCUCUUGAGAGAAGCCACUAGUGAAACCUAUGGCCCCCGGGUCUCUUUCUCAUCAUAUCAAUCUCCAUCACUUUAUUAUUACUUUGCUUUUACUUUGCCUUUUACUUUUCACUUUGCAUCUCUAUACCAAAAAUACCAAAAAUAUUAUUUAUCAUCUCUAUCAGAUCUCACUUUCGUAAGUGACCAUGAAGGGAUUGACAACCCCUAAGCACAUUGGUUGCGUUGAUCUAUCGUUUUUGUGUAGGUACGAGGGACUCGCACGUAGCCUCCUACUGGAUUGAUACCUUGGUUCUCAAAAACUGAGGGAAAUACUUACGCUACUUUGCUGCACCAUCCUCUCCUCUUUGGGGAAAUCCAACGCAGUGCUCAAGAGGUAGCAAGAAGAAUCUAUGGCGCCGUUGCCGGGGAGUCUGCGUAAAAAUCAACAUACCAAGUACCCAUCACAAUCCCUAUCUCCUGCAUUACAUUAUUUUCCAUUUGCCUCUAGUUUUCCUCUCCCCCACUUCACCCUUGCCAUUUUAUUCGCCCUCUCUCUCUCUAUACUCCCUCUCUUUCUCUAUUUGCCUCUUUUUUCCCGUUUGCUUUUUGUUUGCUCCUGUGUUGGAUUGCUUGUUUGCCGCGAUGGAACACUUCCCUAGAAAUAAAAUAAAAUUUCCAUAUGAAUCUAUCAUGAGAGCCACUUAUGGAUUACCUACCAAAGAUGGCAAUACCUAGAUCUAUUUUUGCUUGUUAUGCCUAGCUAGGGGUGUUAAACGAUAGCGCUUGUUGGGAGGCAACCCAAUUUUAUUUUUAUUCCUUGAUUUUUUAUCCUGUUUAGUAAUAAAUAAUUUAUCUAGCCUCUGUUUUGGUUGUGUUUUUUGUGUUUAAUUAGUGUUUGUGCCAAGUACAACCAUUGGGAAGACUUGGGGAAAGUCUUGUUGAACUUGCUGUAAAAAACAGAAACUUUAGCGCUCACGAGAACUGCUGUCAUUUUUAUUUGUAAAGUGCUAUUUAGUUAAUUAUUUUUUCAUAUUAUUAAUAGAUAAAUUCCUCACGUCCAUAAAUUUAUUUUAGAAUUUUUGGGGUUCCAGAUCUUGCGCUAGCUACAGAUUACUACAGACUGUUCUGUUUUUGACAGAUUCUGUUUUUCGUGUGUUGUUUGCUUAUUUUAAUGAAUCUAUGACUAGUAAAAUAGUUUAUAAACCAUAGAGAAGUUGGAAUACAGUAGCUUUAACACCAAUAUAAAUAAAGAAUGAGUUCAUUACAGUACCUUGAAGUGGUCUUUUGUUUUCUUUCGCUAACGGAGCUCACGAGAUUUUCUACUUUAAGUUUUGUGUUGUGAAGUUUCCAAGUUUUGGGUAAAGAUUUAUGGAUUAUGGAACAAGGAGUGGAAAGAACCUAAGCUUGGGUAUGCCCAUGGAACCCCCAAGAUAAUCUAAGGACUCCUAAAAGCCAAAGCUUGGGGAUGCCCCGGAAGGCAUCCCCUCUUUCUUCUACUUCUAUCGGUAACUUUACUUGGAGCUAUAUUUUCAUUCACCACAUGAUAUGUGUUUUGCUUGGAGCGUCUUUUAUGAUUUGAGUCUUUGCUUGUUAGUCUACCACAAUCAUCCUUGCUGUACACACCUUUUGAGAGAGCUAUACAUAAUUUGGAAUUUGAUAUAAUACUCAAUGUGCUUCACUUAUAUCUUUUGAGCUUUAUAGUUUUGCUCUAGUGCUUCACUUAUAUCUUUCAGAGCACGGUGGUGGAUUCGUUUUACAGAAACUAUUGAUCUCUCAUGCGUCACUUAGAUUAUUUUGAGAGUCUUAAUAGCAAUGUAAUUUUCUUAAAAUCCUAAUAUGCUUGGUAUGCAAGAUUAAUAAUAAAACUUUCUUAUGAGUGUGUUGAAUACUAAGAAAAGUUUGAUGCUUGAUGAUUGUUUUGAGAUAUAGAGGUAAUAAUAUCAAAGUCAUGCUAGUUGAGUAGUUGUGAAAUUGAGAAAUACUUGUGUUGAAGUUUGCAAGUCCCGUAGCAUGCACGUAUGGUAAACGGUAUGCAACAAAUUUGAAACAUGAGGUGUUAUUUGAUUGUCUUCCUUAUGAGUGGCGAUCGGGGAUGAGCAAUGGUGUUUUCCUACCAAUCUAUCCCCCUAGGAGCAUGCGCGUAGUACCGAGGUUUUUGAUGACUUGUAGAUUUUUGCAAUAAGUAUGUGAGUUCUUUGUGACUAAUGUUGAGUCCAUGGAUUAUACGCACUCUCACCCUUCCAUCCUUGCUAGCCACUUCGGUACCGUGCAUUGCCCUUUAUCACAUUGAGAGUUGGCACAAACUUCGCUGGUGCAUCCAAACCCCGUGAUAUGAUACGCUCUUUCACACAUAAACCUCCUUAUAUCUUCCUUAAAACAUCCACCAUACCUACCUAUUAUGGCAUUUCCAUAGCCAUUCCGAGAUAUAUUGCCAUGCAACUUUCCAUCAUUCCGUUCAUCAUGACACAUUCAUCAUUGUCAUAUUGCUUAGCAUGAUCAUGUAGUUGACAUAGUAUUUGUGGCAAAGCCACCAUUCAUAAUUCUUUCAUACAUGUCACUUUUGGUUCAUUGCAUAUCCCGGUACACCGCCAGAGGCAUUCAUAUAGAGUCAUCUUUGUUCUAGUAUCGAGUUGUAAUCAUUGAGUUGUAAAUAAAUAGAAGUGUGAUGAUCAUCAUUAUUAGAGCAUUGUCCCAAGUGAGGAAUAAAAAAAAGAGAAAGGCCAUAAAAAAGAGAAGGCCCUAAAAAAUGAGAGAAAAAGAGAGAAGGGACAAUGUUACUAUCCUUUUACCACACUUGUGCUUCAAAGUAGCACCAUGAUCUUCAUAGUAGAGAGUCUCUCAUGUUAUCACUUUCAUAUACUAGUGGGAAUUUUUCAUUAUAGAACUUGGCUUGUAUAUUCCAACAAUGGUCCUCCUCAAGUGCCCUAGGUCUUCGUGAGCAAGCAAGUUGGAUGCACACCCACUAGUUUCUUUUGUUGAGCUUUCAUACAUUUAUAGCUCUAGUGCAUCCGUUGCAUGGCAAUCCCUACUCCUUGCAUUAACAUCAAUCGGUUGGCAUCUCCAUAGCCCAUUGAUUAGCCUCAUUGAUGUGAGACUUUCUCCUUUUUUGUCUUCUCCACAUAACCCCCUUCAUUAUAUUCUAUUCCACCCAUAGUGCUAUGUCCAUGGCUCGCGCUCAUAUAUUGCGUGAAAGUUUAUAGGUUUGAGAUUACUAAAGUAUGAAACAAUUGCUUGGCUUGUCAUCGGGGUGGUGCAUGAUGAGAGCAUUCUUGUGUGAUGAAAAUUAAACAUGACUAAACUAUAUGAUUUUGUAGGGAUGAACUUUCUUUGGCCAUGUUAUUUUGAGAAGACAUAAUUGCUUAGUUAGUAUGCUUGAAGUAUUAUCAUUUUUAUGUCAAUAUGAACUUUUGUCUUGAAUCUUUUGGAUCUGAAUAUUCAUACCACAAUUAAGAAGAAUUAAAUUAAAAUUAUGCCAAGUAGCACUCCGCAUCAAAAAUUCUCUUUUUAUCAUUUACCUACUCAAGGACGAGCAGGAAUUAAGCUUGGGGAUGCUUGAUACAUCUCCAACGUAUCUAUAAUUUUUGAUUGCUCCAUGCUAUAUUAUCUACUGUUUUGGACCAUAUUGGGCUUUAUUUUCCACUUUUAUAUUAUUUUUGGGACUAACCUAUUAACCAGAGGCCCAGCCUAGAAUUGCUGUUUUUUGCCUAUUUCAGUGUUUCGGAGAAACAAAAUAUCAAACGGAGUCCAAACGGAAUGAAACCUUCGGGAACGUGAUUUUCUCAUUCGAUAAGACCCAGGAGACUUGGACCCUCCGUCAAGAAUGCCAUGAUGCAGUCACGAGGGUGGAGGGCGCCCCCCUAGGGCGCGCCCCCUGCCUCGUGGGCCCCUCGAAGCUCCACCGACGUACUCCUUCCUCCUAUAUAUACCUAUGUACCCCCAAACGAUCGGGGAUGGAGCCAAAAACCUAAUUCCACCGCCGCAACAUUCUAUAUCCACGAGAUCCCAUCUUGGGGCCUGUUCCGGAGCUCCGCCAGAAGGGGAAUCGAUUACGGAGGGCUUCUACAUCAUCAUCCAAGCCCCUCCGAUGAAGUGUGAGUAGUUUAUUUCAGACCUAUGGGUCCAUAGUUAGUAGCUAGAUGGCUUCUUCUAUCUUUUUGGAUCUCAAUACGAUGUUCUCCCCCUCUCUCGUGGAGAUCUAUUUGAUGUAAUCUUCUUUUUGCGGUGUGUUUGUUGAGACCGAUAAAUUGUGGGUUUAUGAUCAAGUCUAUCUAUGAAUAAUAUUUGAAUAUUCUCUGAAUUCUUUUAUGUAUGAUUGGUUAUCUUUGCAUGUCUCUUUGAAUUAUCAGUUUGGUUUGGCCUACUAGAUUGGUUUUUCUUGCCAUGGGAGAAGUGCUUAGCUUUGGGUUCAAUCUUGCGGUGUCCUUUCCCAGUGAUAGAAGGGGCAGCAAGGCAUGUAUUGUAUUGUUGCCAUCGAGGAUAGCAAGAGGGGUUUUUAUCAUAUUGCAUGAAACUAUCCCUCUACAUCAUGUCAUCUUGCUUAAGGCGUUACUCUAUUUUUAACUUAAUACUCUAGAUGCAUGCUGGAUAGCGGUCGAUGAGUGGAGUAAUAUUAGUAGAUGCAGGCAGGAGACGGUCUACUUGUCUCGAACGUGAUGCCUAUAUACAUGAUCAUACCUAGAUAUUCUCAUAAGUAUGUUCAAUUCUGUCAAUUCCUCAACAGUAAUUUGUUCACCCACCGUAGAAUACUUAUGCUCUUGAGAGAAGCCACUGGUGAAACCUAUGGCCCCCGGGUCUCUUUCUCAUCAUAUCAAUCUGCAUCACUUUAUUAUUGCUUUGCUUUUACUUUGCCUUUUACUUUUCACUUUGCAUCUCUAUACCAAAAAUACCAAAAAUAUUAUUUAUCAUCUCUAUCAGAUCUCACUUUCGUAAGUGACCGUGAAGGGAUUGACAACCCCUAAGCGCGUUGGUUGCGUUGAGCUAUUGUUUUUGUGUAGGUACGAGGGACUCGUGUGUAGCCUCCUACUGGAUUGAUACCUUGGUUCUCAAAAACUGAGGGAAAUACUUACGCUACUUUGAUGCAUCAUCCUCUCCUCUUCGGGGAAAUCCAAUGCAGUGCUCAAGAGGUAGCACCCCUCCCCCCACUUGGGUGUGCCCCUAGGCCAGCCUCCUCCCCUCCUUUAUAUACAGGGGCAGGGGCACCCCAAAGCACAACAAUUUUUCUUAGCCGUGUGCGGUGACCCCCUCCAAAGUUUACUCUUCCGGUCAUAUUAUCGUAGUGCUUAGGCGAAGCCCUAUGCGAAUCACAUCACCAUCAUCAUCACCACACCGUCAUGCUGACGAAACUCUCCCUCGACACUUGGCUGGAUCAAGAGUUUGAGGGACGUCAUCGAGUUGAACGUGUGCUGAACUCGGAGGUGUCGUACGUUCAGUACUUGAUCUGUUGGAUCGCGAAGACGUUUGACAACAUCAACCGCGUUAACCUAACGCUUCCUCUUUCGGUCUACGAGGGUACGUGGAGACACUCUCCCCCUCCUGUUGAUAUGCAUCUCCUAGAUGGAUCUUGUGUGAUCGUAGGAUUUUUUUUUCAAAUUUCAUGCUAUGUUCCCCAACACUUGAUGCCCAAUAUGUAAGCAGCUUCACCGAGGUCCUUCAUUGAAAAAUUCUUAGUCAAAUAUCAUUUUAUGCUAUCCAGAAAUUCUAUAUCAUUUCCAAUCAACAAUAUGUUAUCCACAUAUAAUAUUAGAAAUGCUACAGAGCACCCACUCACUUUCUUGUAAAUAGAGGCUUCUCGAAAAGUCUGUAUAAAACCAUAUGCUUUGAUCACCUCAUCAAAGCGUAUAUUCCAACUCCGAGAUGCUUGCACCAGUCCAUAAAUGGAUCGCUGGAGCUUGCACACUUUGUUUAACCUUUAGGAUCGACAAAACCUUCUGGUUGCAUCAUAUACAACUCUUCUUUAAGAAAUCCAUUAAGGAAUGCUGUUUUGACGUCCAUUUGCUAGGUUUCAUAAUCAUAAAAUGCGGCAAUUGCUGACAUGAUUCGUACAGACUUAAGCAUCGCUACGGGUGAGAAAGUCUCAUUUUAGUCAACUCCUUGAACUUGUCGAAAACCUUUUGCGACUAGUCGAGCUUUGUAGACAGUAACAUUACCAUAAGUGUCAGUCUUCUUCUGGAAGAUCCAUUUAUUCUCUAUGGCUUGCCGAUCAUUGGGCAAGUCAACCAAAGUCCAUACUUUGUUUUCAUACAUGGAUCCUAUCUCAGAUUUCAUGGCCUCAAGCCAUUUAUCGGAAUCUGGGCUCAUCAUCGCUUCCUCAUAGUUCGUAGGUUCGUCAUGGUCUAAUAACAUGACUUCCAGAACAGGAUUACCGUACCACUCUGGUGCGGAACGUGCUCUAGUUGACCUACGAGGUUUGGUAGUAACUUGAUCAAAAUGUGGUCGUGUUUUUGUUAGAUACUCAAUUUAUGUACCUAGUAAGAACUAGGUACAACGCCUAGCACAUGAAAUUGAUUUGUAGUUAUACAGGGAAAUUGCAAUGUCAAUCUUUGUUGUUAAUGAGGUGUAAGGAGAUCGAGCAGUAAGAAAGUAUUGCAUAUUGAGGUGUCUGCAAUGACUAGCACAUGAAAUGGCCAUAGGCUAUGUACUUUGUCAAGGAAAUUGCCAUUCACCAACACCAUUUUCAGUUCUGUUAGUUUUGCAAAUGGCCGGCUUAUUUGUAUAAUGUUAGUCUAUAGAAUUGUUAGCUACUUGGGAGUAGUGACUAGUGAGCAAUUUACUAAUUUAGUUAUGAUGUCAACAUUUCUUAUGUUUGCUUUACUUUAGCAGGGAGGUGUCCAUUGUGGUUCAGUGCAGUGGACCGAUGUGCAUUGGCCUGUCAUACUACAGAUCUGCUUGACCAAUCUAUGUGACAUCUUUUAUGACUAAGGUGGCAAGGUGAAAUAAUAGAAAGCAAUGGAUGCUGAAGGAUUUGAGAAGAGCUAUAGUUGAAGGUCAAGAUGAGAAGCCGAGGCUUGGAAAGGAGCAAAGGUGUAUCCUUCAAUCUUAGGCAUAUAUAAUUAAGAACACUAGGAAGGCCAUGCAUGAGAUCAAGGUGGACAUGGUGAAGGAAAUAUGCCCUAGAGGCAAUAAUAAAGUUGUUAUUUUAUAUUUCCUUCUAUCAUUAUAAAUGUUUAUUAUUCAUGCUAGAAUUGUAUUAACCGGAAACUUGAUACAUGUGUGGAUACAUAGACAAAACACCGUGUCCCUAGUAAGUCUCUACUAGACUAGCUCGUUAAUCAAAGAUGGUUAAGUUUCCUAACCAUAGACAUGUGUUGUCAUUUGAUGAAUGGGAUCACAUAAUUAGGAGAAUGAUGUGAUGGACAAGGCCCAUCCGUUAGCUUAGCAUAAUGAUGUUAAGUCUUAUUGCUAUUGCUUUCUUCAUGUCAUAUACAUAUUCCUUUGACUAUGAGAUUAUGCAACUCCCGGAUGCCGGAGGAAUACCUUGUGUACUAUCAAACGUCACAACGUAAUUGAGUGAUUAUAAAGAUGCUCUAUAGGUAUCUCCGAAGGUGUUUAUUGGGUUGGCAUAGAACGAGAUUAGGAUUUGUCACUCCGAGUAUCGGAGAGGUAUCUCUGGGCCCUCUCGGUAAUGCACAUCAUAAUAAGCCUUGCAAGUGAUGUGACUAAUGAGUUAGUUGCAGGAUGAUGCAUUACAGAACAAGUAAAGAGAUUUGCCGGUAAUAAGAUUGAACUAGGUAUGAAGAUAUCGACGAUCGAAUCUCGGGCAAGUAACAUACCGAUGAAAAAGGGAAUAACGUAUGUUGUCAUAACGGUUCGACUGAUAAAGACCUUCGUAGAAUAUGUAGGAGACAAUAUGACCAUCCAGGUUCCUCUAUUGGUUAUUGACUGGAGAGGUGUCUUAGUCAUGUCUACAUAGUUCUCAAUCCCAUAGGGUCCGCACGCUUAACGUUCGAUGACAAUUUUGUAUUAUACGAGUUAUGUGAUUUGGUGACCAAAUGUUGUUUGGAGUCCCGGAUGAGAUCCCGGACUUGACGAGGAGUCUCAAAAUGGUUGAGAGGUAAAGAUUCAUUUAUAGGACCAUAGUAUUCAGACACCGAAAGUGUUCUGGGGGUACCGGGUACGUAUCAGGUCACCGGAAGGGGUUCCGGGCGACCCCCAGCAAGCUAUAUAUAUGGGCCUAAUGGGCCAAGAGGGGAAACACACCAGCCACAAAGGGGCUGGUGCCCCCCCCAUAUGGGCUGGCCAAAUUGGAGAAAUAAAGGGGAAGAAGGAAAGGAAAAAGGGAAUAGGAUUCCCCCUUCCCCCUCUUCCCUUCCUACUCCGAAUAGGAAUAGGAAAGGGGGGAGGCCGAAUUGGGAGGACCCCAAGUAGGAUUCCUCCUACUUGGGGCACCCCCUUGGCUACCUCUCCUCCCCUCCAACCUAUAUAUAUGUGGGCGGCCACCGCUAGAACACACACGAAACAUUGUUAGCCAUGUGCGGCGCCCCCCUCCAUGGUUUAUAACUUUGGUCAUAUCUUUGUAGUGUUUAGGCGAAGCCCUGCACGGAUCACUUCACCAUCACCGUCACCAAUCCAUCGUGCUAAUGGAACUCUCCCACGACACUUUGCUGGAUCAAGAGUUCGUGGGAUGUCAUCGGCUGAACAUGUGCAGAACUCGUAGGUGACGUACGUUCGGUGCUUGAUUGGUCGGAACGAGAAGAAGUUCGACUACAUCAAUCGUGUUGUCAAACGCUUCCGCUUCCGGUGUAUGAGAGUACAUGGACACACUCUCCCCCUCUCGUUGCUAUGCAUCUCCUAGAUAGAUCUUGCGUGAGCAUAGGAAAUUUUUGAAAUUGUAUGCUACGUUACCCAAUGGUGGUAUCAGAGCCAGGUCUAUGCGUAGAUGAUAUGCAUGAGUAGAAUACAAAGAGUUGUGGGCGGUGAUAGUCAUACUUCUUACCACCUAGGUCUUAUUUUUAUUUGGCGUUAUUGUUGGAUGAAGCGGCCCGGACUAACCUUACAUGACCAUGUUCAUGAGACCGGUUCCACCGACAGACAUGCAACUUGUUUUGCAUAAAGGUGGCUGGCGGGUGUCUGUUUCUCCAACUUUAGUUGAAUCGGAUUAGACUGCGGCCGGUCCUUGUUGAAGGUUAAAACACCAAACUUGAUAAAUCACCAUUGUGGUAUUGAUGCGUAGGUAAUAACCGUUCUUACUAGAAGCCCGUAGCAGCCACGUAAAACUUGCAACAACAAAGUAGAGGACGUCUAACUUGUUUUUGCAGGGCAUGUUGUGAUGUGAUAUGGUCAAGACAUGAUGUGAUAUACGUUAUUGUAUGAGAUGAUCAUGUUUUGUAAAAGUUAUUGGCAACUGGCAGGAGCCUUCACUACUAAAAAAAGACACAUCUGUGACAUUUUGGGCCAAACAAAAAUUUUUCUGUCAUACUUAUGACACUUCUAUGACAAUAAUUGUGACAAAAUACGGUAUCAUCAGAGAUGUGGUGGGGUCCUACUUCUAUGACAAAAAAUCAUGACAGAAAAUGGGCUUUUCGUCCUCGGCGGGCCGGAGACGCAGAUGCAUGACAUUCUUUGGGCCGUCCAUGAUGGAAAAACCUUGGUAGAAGCGAGGGCGAGCAAAAUAUCGGGGUGUUUCCGAUUAUGGUGUGUGGUUGAUACGUCUCCAACGUAUCUAUAAUUUUUGAUUGCUCCAUGCUAUAUUAUCUACUGUUUUGGACAUUAUUGGGCUUUAUUAUACACUUUUAUAUUAUUUUUGGGACUAACCUAUUAACCGGAAGCCCAGCCCAGAAUUGUUGUCUUUGGCCUAUUUUAGGGUUUCGAAGAAAAGGAAUAUCAAACGGCGUCCAAACAGAAUGAAACCUUCGAGAACGUAAUUUUUGGAACGAACAAAGAUCCAGGAGACUUGGACCCUACAUCAAGCAACCAACAGGGAGGCCACGAGGUAGGGGGUGCGCCUACCCCCCCCCCCAGGCGCGCCCUCCACCCUCGUGGGCCCCCUGUUGCUCCACCGACAUACUUCUUCCUCCUAUAUAUACCUAUGUACCCCCAAACAAUCAGGUACGGAGCCAAAACCGUAAUUCCACUGCCGUAACUUUCUGUAUCCACGAGAUCCCAUCUUGGGGCCUGUUCCGGAGCUCUACUAGAGGGGGCAUCGAUCAUGGAGGGCUUCUACAUCAACACCAUAGCCUCUCCGAUGAAGUGUGAGUAGUUUACCUCAGACCUACGGGUCCAUAGUUAUUAGCUAGAUGGCUUCUUCUCUCUUUUUGGAUCUCAAUACAAAGUUCUCCCCCUCUCUUGUGGAGAUCUAUUCGAUGUAAUCUUCUUUUUGCGGUGUGUUUGUUGAGACCGAUGAAUUGUGGGUUUAUGAUCAAGUUUAUCUAUGAACAAUAUUUGAAUCUUCUCUGAAUUCUUUUAUGUAUGAUUGGUUAUCUUUGCAAGUCUCUUCGAAUUAUCAGUUUGGUUUGGCCUACUAGAUUGAUCUUUCUUGCAAUGGGAGAAGUGCUUAGCUUUGGGUUCAAUCUUGCGGUGUCCUUUCCCAGUGACAGUAGGGGCAUCAAGGCACGUAUUGUAUUGUUUCCAUCGAGGAUAACAAGAUGGGUUUUUUUAUCAUAUUGCAUGAAUUUAUCCCUCUACAUCAUGUCAUCUUGCUUAAGGCGUUACUCUGUUCUUAUGAACUUAAUACUCUAGAUGCAUGCUGGAUAGCGGUCGAUGUGUCGAGUAAUAGUAGUAGAUGUAGGUAGGAGUUGGUCUACUAGUCUCGGACGUGAUGCCUAUAUACAAUAUCAUACCUAGAUAUUCUCAUAACUAUGCUCAAUUCUGUCAAUUUCUCAACAGUAAUUUGUUCACCCACCGUAAAAUACCUAUGCUCUUAAGAGAAGCCACUAGUGAAACCUAUGGCCCCCGGGUCUAUCUUCAUCAUAUUAAUCUUCCAAUACUUAGUUAUUUUCAUUGCCUUUUAUUUUACUUUGCAUCUUUAUCAUAGAAAUACCAAAAAUAUUAUCUUAUUAUAUCUAUCAAAUCUCACUCUCGUAAGUGACUGUGUAGGGAUUGACAACCCCUUAUCGCGUUGGUUGUGAGGAUUUAUUUGUUUUGUGCAGGUGCGAGGGACUCGCGCAUAGCCUCCUACUGGAUUGAUACCUUGGUUCUCAAAAACUGAGGGUACUUUGCUGCAUCACCCUUUCCUCUUCAAGGGAAAACCAACGCAGUGCUCAAGAGGUAGCAAGAAGGAUUUCUGGCACCAUUGCCGGGGAGAGUCGCGCAAGUCAAGAUUUGACUCAUACAUACCAAGUACCCAUCACAAACCCUUAUCUCCCGCAUUACAUUAUUUGCCAUUUGCCUCUCGUUUUCCUCUCCCCCACUUCACCCUUGCCGUUUUAUUCGCCCUCUCUCUCUAUCCUCCCUCUCUUUCCCGUUUGCCUCUUUUUACCCGUUUCUUUUAUGCUUGUGUGUUGGAUUGCUUGCUUGUCAUGAUGGCUCAAGAUAACACUAAAUCGUGUGACUUUACCAAUACCAACAACAA